UUUUUUUUUUUUUUUUUUGCAAGAAAGACCGUUUCCAUGAAGAAUUUUGGAGCGUUGAUGCUGUAUUUUUUGGUGGAAUGAUAGGAAGGGCGCCCAGAAGAAGGUAAUAACAGUGCCAAUUGGAGAAGGGGAUGGAUCAAGAAGUAAAGGAGAGGUAUACCCACCCCCUGAUUCUUGGUCCUGGAGGAAGUAUGGGCAGAAGCCAAUUAAAGGGUCACCAUAUCCCAGGUAUAGAAUCCUCUCCUUUUAUACUGUAUACUACCCUUGAUUUUUGCACUUUGCUUCAGCAAAUCAAGAAAGCUAAAUGGUAGACAAAUGCCUUGAGAUUCUGCUUGUUUGUUCAUGGGGAUGCUGCAGCUAGCAAUGGUAGCAUAUAAUACAUACAUUAAAUUUGGAAUUAAACUUGAGAUGCUUUGAUUAUAGGUGUUAUAAAACAAUAUCCAUUGAGUAAAACUAGGCAAAAUUGAUCGAAUUUUAGUAUGGAACUUAGGAUAAUCUUGUAGCUGCCGGCCGGGCAUUUGUUGGAGUUGGAACGAAAUAAUCUUCUUGUCUAGUCUAGUAUCAAAUAUCAAUGCUGGAAAAGAUAUACAAAGGCGGCUCGGAGUUGUGGACUAAAAUAUGUGCAUUAAUUAAUUAAUGGAUGUAGUGGUUGGAGUUGCUUUACAUCUCUUUGGUUUUCCACUCUCUCAAAAGAAAUGUGUGGCUAACACGCCCUUAAGAGUUAAGAGCUAGCAAGCAAAUUCUGAUGAGAAUUUGCAAUUUGGAUUUGGGAGCAUUAGAGAGGGGGGGGCUACUUUUGAUUAGUGGGAGCCCACUCCAAACAUUUCACUUCUGAUGAUGCUUCUCUUGAUUUGUCUUUUCUUUAAUGUUUUCCUUUUUUUUCUUCUUUCUGGUUUUCUGGUUCCUGAAAAGUCAUCCUGUCCAAGAAGACGAAAAGAUUCAUUAUUGCAUCAUGUCAUCAAAGAUGACAGUUUCAAGUGCUAUCUAUCAAACAUAUAGAUGAAGCCAAGAAUUGAAGUGUUCCAAAAUCAGUUUAUCAGCAGAACUUAUUUACUCCAUUAGUAUAUAUAUAUAUACAUGAUUUUGGAACAACAAUGGGGACUGUCAAAAAAAUCAGCUUUAAUUGCAUCUUUAUAUAAUGGUAGGUAAGGAUUUGUCUUCUCGCAUGAUCAAUUUGGCAAAAAUUAGUGAACGGCCAUCUUUUCUGCACUUUUCUUUUUUGUUGCCCUGAUGCAAAAGGGUCCCAACCUUUAGAUAACGUUUAUCUUUUGGAGAUGUCUCAUCUAGUAGUAUAAAAUUUUAAGUGUGCAUGCUAUGCUGUUUUGUAGUAGUAUGGACAACGUUAAAUCUCCGUUUUGGUGAUUUUUUUUGUCAUCAUAAUAUUUGAUGUAGAAAAAAGUUGAGCUAAUAUUUUGCAUGUGUUGCAUGCCAGGGGAUAUUAUCGGUGCAGUAGCUCUAAAGGCUGUCCCGCAAGAAAACAAGUAGAGAGGAGCUGCCUCGACCCCACCAAGCUCCUCGUCACCUACUCUUGUGAGCACAACCACCCCAUCCCCACCACCACCACCAAACACCACCCCACCACCACUUCUGCCGCUGCCGCCGCCGCACCGAGUGCAACCGCGACCUCUACCUCCACAUCCACAUCAUCCACCGCCACCGGCAACGUUCCCGUGAAAUCUGCCGCGGAGGACGAAUAUGGGGUCUUCGCCAACCGGCCGGGCUUGGAAUCCGACGACAGCAGCAGCAGCAGCUUCAACGAGCUCGCCGGAGAAUUGGGUUGGUUCUCCAAUGUGGGGUCCACCAUGAUGGACAGCCCCAGCUUAGUGGGCCCCGCAUGGGUGGAUGCUGACGUGGCACUCAUGUUGCCCAUUGGGGAGGAGGACCAGUUUUUGUUUGGUGAUCUUGGGGAGCUGCCGGAAUGUUCGGUGGUUUUCCGGCGGCGGGGACUGGAGGGGACUCCGUGCUGCGCGGGUUCAGGAUAAGAAGGGUGUACAUUUUUUUCUCGUUGACUGAUCCAACGGCGAAUAACGCUGUUGACUAUCGAGUAUACAAAUAAUUGUAGGUGCACGUGUUGCGGCGUUGAUUGCGAAUUCCACCCCACAAGCCAACGGCUAACCUGCCAAUUGCCAUUUCAUGCUCCAAUUGCAAAUUUUUUUUGUUUUAAAAAAAAUUAUCAAAAAAAAAAAGACAAAAGGGAAAAAUGGGAAAUAGGAGUUUAUUUUACACCUUCAUUGCAAUUAAUUUUGCCCUGUUAUCUCUUUUUUUUUUUUUGGGGGUCGAGAUGUCAAGUGGGCUUUCUACAUUUUUUUUUUUUUGGGUACAUUACAUCUCUACGGGAGGAUGAUAAUCUAACGGCACUAAGUUAUAGUCGAAUCCUAGUUACCUUGAGAUUAUGGGAAUUUUGAGGUGAAGAAGAUGUUCUUUUGGAUCUGUUGGACGAAACUCGUCAUGAUCAAUGACACAAUCAAUGUCAACAACCAAUGGUGCUAGUGUCAUUUUUUUAGUGUAUCAUAUUUAGUACUCGAUCGUGAAGAUGAUUAGAGUCAAACCACUCUAAGUUGGAGGUUGAAAAGGGGAGGAUGGAAACAUGGCUCAGCCGGUGGCUUCUUGCUUAGCUUUAAGAUAGGAACAUGUUUGAUACUUUUUUUUUUUCUUUUUCUUAUGGAAAAAUGUACAUAUUUUGAUUGUGCAAUUUCAGAGAAGUAUAAAGAUAACGAAUGAGUGAUUUCUGUUACUACUCUUCUUGGAUGAUUUCAUCCUCCCUGUCUACUUUUUGAGUUUUUGUUGGAUCAAGACAUUGGACUCUGGCUACGAUAGUCUGUCUAUCAAGACUCAAAAGGGGCAACAAAAUAAGUUACAUUUCAUGGUUUUUUUUAUCACUAAUACUCACCUCAAUGAUUUCAAUUGAUGAACACAUGUUGGUUGGUUCCCCCCUUUUGUUCCUCCAAGUCCAACCCAACUGCUGGUGCCUUGCUACCACAAAUAUCUACCUAUAACACUUGAAAGUCUUGAUGGCCAACAAUAUUUUGCUUGUCAGAUUCUGAGUACAAUUAUUUGAUGAGUCAUAAUGAGCUGGGAUCAAUAAUUGUUCAAAUAUAUAAAAUGUGAUUACCACAUAAUAUUCCCAUUAUCGACCAUGAUCCACAUGCUAGAGAGAGUUACCUCUCUCUGUGGGCAGUCAUUUGCCAGGCUAAACAGCUUUACAUACAAACCUAGUGGAGUUAGAGGCUAAAUAUCCAGAAUUAUGGCUGUCAUGGAAAUGUCAUAAUCCAGAACAUUAACCCAUAGUUGAGAGGCAAUCGAAAGUAAGGAAGACGUUUAUAAAAAAAAAAAAAAAAAAAAAAGCCAUCAAUAUGCAAUUUUCACUAGACAACCAUCCAAAGUUGAGGUUUCCAAAGCAAUAUUUCAGAAAAUAUCGAAGCAGGCUCUUCUCCAUAUUCUAAAAGGAAAGGACUAACCAAGUAACUAUACCCAUUCCUGAUCCUACCAAGUAAGAAUUUCAUGAAAAUACUGCUUAAGUAUUUCCAUGUAACUGUCAUCUUAUAUGAUCCCAGACAAAGAGGACAAUCAAAUGAACAAUAUUGCUGGUUGAACGAUGUAAUGUACAAGACUUGUGCAGCAAGAGCCAUUGUCCUUGAAGAUUUCCAUGCAAGCUCUAGCUUGAACAGCAUCCAAAUCUCUUCCAAGAAGAUCCCUCAUCUUUGAUAUCGAUUGUCUCGCCUUUAGGAGGAACAGAUGAAGUAGCGCCUUCAUCACUGGCCUCGACUGCCUUCCUACUCACAAUGUGGUAUAUUUGUGUCAGGACUUCAGCAAAUGCAUUUUCCACAUUGGUUGCUUCCAGUGCAGAUGUCUCCAUGAAAAAGAGGCUCUCCCUCUCUGCUAAAGCUUUACCAUCCUCAGUUGAAACUGCUACAAGAUGCCGAAGAUCGGAUUUGUUGCCAAUGAGCAUAACUACAACAUUAGGGUCAGUAUGAUCUCUCAAUUCCCUCAACCACCUCUCAACAUUCUCAAAGGUAGAACGUCUAGUGACAUCAUACACAAGUAAAGCACCAACAGCUCCUCUGUAGUAAGCACUGGUAAUGGCACGGUACCUACAGCGGGCAAAGGAAGCAUAUAUGAAUGCAGAAGUUAAAUGCUUUACAAUUUAUGUAUGCAAUUCCAACUACUUGUCAUAAUUCAGAAAUGAAUUACAGCUCAAGUACUUGAUUUCAGCUGUAGUUCAUGUGAGCUAGAUACUCCUUUAACUUCGGCAUUAAAAAAAGUUCACAAAAUUAGAUUUAAACAUGAAAGUUUGCAAGAAAUAAGAACAAACAGAAAAAACUGAUUAGAGGAUGCUAUAAAGAAAUGCUAAUAUGAUUAAAAUUUUCUUGGUGGAGAUAUGGUCUAAACAAAAGUGCAGAGAAAGUAUGCAUGCUAAAAAAUUACACACAACAUGCAUGUAAUAUCUGUAAUAUCUGUAAGGCAAAAGUCCAGGAGCAAGGCACUUGAGACAACCCCUUGGAAUGGAAACAUACAAAGACCAACCUGUGACCUUCAAGAUCAUAAAAUCACAAAAAAACAACAUUAGGCUUCUAUCAAGGUGGUCUAUGAAGGGUAAUGCAGGCAAAGAAACAGUUCAAGAAAAUAAGGAAACUCAACGUGUUUUCUCAAGCAGAUGAACACAACUUUAAAUGUGACUAAACAUUCUCGUCCAUAAGUUUUAAGCUCCUUAUCUAAAGAGCACUACACACUUUAAUAAACUGGAAAAGAAUGAAACUCGAUCUCAUCAUGGACCAGAUGUCAGAAUAAGAUUUAUGUUCCAUGGCCUAGGAAGCAUAUGAUGCUGCCACUGAGAAGUUGCACUCUGAGGCAUAUAACCCAAACAAGAUUCAGUACUCCAACAUUCACAAUAAACUACUCUAGUUUAGAUCUGGUGCAGAUUUUAAACAAGUACAUGAUAAUUCAAAACCUAACAAUCAUUAAAUUACAGGAAAAAGGUAUAAGCAAAUAAAUCAGCGCCCAAGGACAUGCACACCAAUGGUAAGACUACAUAUAUCUCAAUGUUUGCUCCUUUCAGCACCCUCAUAUUUCUCCACAAUUUGUUCACAAAGAGCAAAUUCACUUAAGCUUUUAGGCUAGCAUAUCGAAUGAAAAUGAGCUCCUUAGGGGAAAAAAUUGCAGCAUUCUAAAAUGUUUUACUUCACAUAAGGGACUCCUCUUUAGCAUUUUCGAGCAAUUAAUUACAUAACUUUACCAAUCACAGUGUUGUAAUAGUUGCUUUCACAUCAGAAUCUUAAAGCACCUCAAACAAUACCUCAUGUGAUGCCAAGGAUUUGGAAAUAGACAACACCGGUUACAUGAGACCUAAGUUAUGUCCUUGUCAAACAAAAUCAGGUACAUGAGAUAGCCAUAACUUUCCUAUCUUGUUCACUAAAUAUUUAUUCCUAACCAGACAAAUAUAUAACCAGAUACAAUGCUUCCUCCUUAUAUAUCCAGUCACAAUCACUCUUAGCUUCCUCCUUAUCAGAACCCCAGUAUGCUUAACUUUCUACAAACUUCAGGAUUGAGUGCAGAUGAUUUUGACUCCAAAAAAAAUUGGAGUCAAUGUUUAGCCAGUAUCACAAUUACACCAGUUCAAAUAAUGAUAAAAUUGUUAUUUGGGUAUGAUAUCCCAAGUUAUUGCCGAAUGAGAACCAAUUAACAUUAACAUACAUGAUGAAAUAAAACAAUAAAUUGGAGCCCAAAACACAUAAUGAAGGAUGCUAAGCAUAACUGCUCAGUGAAACACCCAUUCAUUGAGGAUUAGACAUCUGAUUCUAUCAUAAGAAUUCAGCCAAGUACCAAUGAAUAAACAAAAAUGUAACAAGAUGCCAAUUGAAAGAUUACGCUAUUCUCUUUCCAAAUGUACACAUAUGGCCUAAUUACAUUAUCCCCUUCCAACUUUAGUCCAAGACAUUUAACCCCUUCAACUGACAAAAAAGUGGUCCAAGUGAAGAAUUCAUCAUCUAGAGAUUACGCAAACCAUUGAGAGGAAUUGAUUUACCUCUCGAAAAUAUUGUUUUUCACUUUAACCCAUUUGACAGGUAACAUCAAUAAUUACAUGAGCAAAACAAACAACCCGCAAAAGUAUUCAAAAUACUUUCAAUUGAACAGUUUGCAGAAUUCUACACAUAUUACAAUUGUAAUGACACCUUGUUGAUGCAUUUCAUAUCCAUCUAGAUUAUCAAAUUCAUCAUCUAAGUCAUUUUCCAUCCACGUAAACUACGUGUAUGUUUUUACCUCUAGAAUUCCAAUGUAACGGAUCAAAACGCAACACAACCAGCAUAUAUGGACACAUUUAUACAACCCAUGACAUAGAAGGAUCACUGCAACUUCUCCCAAGGAUAUUAUUGUCCAAUGGCAACAAAUUUUCUUCGAUCAGUAGCAUCAAGUAUAAACACACUGCUAGGAUUAUGAGUCUAGGUAAAACUAGAAUCAUAAAGCAAGGUACCAAAGAAGGAGAAGUACAACGACAAGCAGUAUCUCUUAUGAUGUGGAUUUUGGAGAAUAAAAAGAACAGAAUUUCCCAGCCUUAUUAUAGACCGUAGUGAUCUGAACCUGCCUACCAAUAAGGAAAAGCUUGAAGAAUAGUUGUUCACACAACUUAACUCUUCCCAGAAGUACAGUUAAAUUAACACGUGGCAUGAAGUUUGGCAUAUCACAAAGCUAAGCUCUUUGUCCCAUGCUCAAGUUAAAAGUGUGUAGAAACCUAGGCCUGUUUUGAAGCAAGAAAUAAGUGCAUGGCUAAGAAUCAUCUCAAGUUAAAUUAUUGAAAACUCUCUAUCUUCUAACACUAAAAUGGACACACAUCACAGUACAUCCUGUUGCUACGUUUAACAUGCAGAGAAUUACUCUUUAAAGGAUAAUCACAAUGGACAAUAGGCAUGACUGUUUUAAAAUCAUAACUUUUUCUUUAGGAGCCAUAUGGUAGGUAAUCUAAAGGUCAUAUGGUAUGUAACCUAGGGACCAUAUGAUAGGUAAUCAUAAAACAAUUAACCAUAAAAGGGAUUGAUGAUCAAUUUAAAUCACAAACAAGUAGCAUGGACAUCGUACUAUUCACUUCCAAGCAAUGGAUAAUUGGUACCUUGUUUAUAGACUACACAGACCACUAAGAACUCUCCCUCCUUGACAAGCAAGGAGUCAUACUGAUUAAAGCAACAAGUGACAAUCACCAAGUCAAGACAAACCCAUCAAUUUCCAUUUACAAAAUAAUCGAGGAAAUACCAAAAAACAAAAGAAAACUCCUACAAAGAUUUUUUUUUUGGGGGGGGGAGGGGGGGGUGCAUGGAAACCAUAAUAAAGGUUUCUGGAAGACAUUAGCAACAAUCAUUACACAAUUGGCUGCACCAAUCUUCAAUCUUCCAAUACAAAAAUCAAAACACAAAUAUGAAAAUCAUCAAAAAAACCCAUGCAAUCAACUGGCUUACUGUUGCUCAACUUUCCAAUUCAUCAAAAAAAAAAAAAAAAAAGAAACUGGCUUACUGUUGCUCAACCUUUCAAUUCAUCAAAAAAAAAGGGAAAAAGAAAGACAGAAAGAAAGAAAAUCACACAACUCACAGGUAAAUCGAUCAAACACAUCUAAUAGCGCAUUAUUUUUAUGCUCACCAAGGCAUAUCCACAUCUAUACACAUGAAACUAAUAAUAGCACGGAAAUAAACCCCCAUGGCAUAAAAAGAUUCAGUUUUGAUAAAACCCCAAUAAAAUAGUAAGAGGGGUUGAAGAUUAGGCAACCUUUCUUGGCCAGCAGUGUCCCAAAUCUGAGCUUUGAUAACCUUGGAGUCUACGUUAAGACUUCUAGUAGCAAACUCCACACCAAUAGUGGACUUAGACUCGAGAUUAAACUCAUUCCUGGUGAAUCUUGAAAGCAGAUUGGAUUUGCCAACCCCUGAAUCACCUAUUAGCACUAGCUUGAACAGGUAAUCAUACUCAUCUUCAGCUCUGUAGCGUGCCAUAACUGAUAUAUCUGGCUCUCCUUUUCUUUCAGUAGGUGUUGUGUGUGUGAAUUUCUCUGUUCCACCAGUAUUGGUUAGUAGUGGUGGUGACGGAUGUUGGUUAGGCAGCUGAGUCUUUUUUGAAAAAGGAGGUUUGAAGUGGGAAGGAAAUGGUAGAGACUGUUGUCGGGGGAUUUGCCUAGAUUCCUGCUUCCAGAAUUGAAAGAAAUCAGCCAAUAUUAAUUUACAUCUUUACCCUUUAAUUUUAUAUCCUCAACAUUCAAUGAUUCAACAAAGAGUAAAUCCUUGGGCUCUCUCUCUCUCUCUCUCUCUCUUAAUGAUGAAUAUGUUUGGAUAACAGAUAUUUGGGAUAAUUUUUUUUUAAGAAAAUACUGUAUUAGUUGUUUGAUAUGAUGUCCGUAAAAUAAAAUAAUUAUUAAAAAAUAUGUUGAUGAUGCAAUCAAAUAAAUGGCUAUUUAAACAAAUUCAACAUUUUUUGUGUACACGAUUUUAGAUAUAUGCACCCUUUAUUUUCUUAAAACUAAUCUUCUAAUAGAAAAUUUCUUAAGAAAAAAGAGAAAUUACUAUUAGAAUUUUUGAGUUUGAUAGAUAUCUUUCUUUCUGUUUUAAUACAAUAUUUUACGACUGAUCCUACAUUAAGAGGAGAGGGGGGGAUAGAGAUGGAUCCAACUAAGCUAUUGUAAAUUCGGAAGGAUUUUUUUUUUUAGUACAACAUUUUUACAAUUGAUCCUACAUUAGAGGAAGAAGAGAGGGGAAAAGAAAUGGACCCAACUAAACCAUUGAAAUUUCAAAAAGGAAUUUUUUUUAUUGCAAUAUUUUUACAAUUGAUCGUAUAUUAAGGGAAGAGGGGAGAGGAAUGAAGAUGGAUUGAGCUAAACUAUUGAGAAUUUGGAAAAUCCUAAAUGGAAAAUGUAGGCAAUGAAUUUUGAAUUCGUUACCUAUACCAAGGAAGAACUUUCACUUCUUAGUUUUUUUUUUUUUUAUGUAUUCUUUAAGACUUUUUUCUUCUUUUCACUUUUGAAAUAUACUUUUGCAAGUUUAUAAGAAUUCAUAUUCCCAAUUCUGCCAAUUGACUCCUUGCUAAUUCCAUUGACUUAUUAAGUACAUGAAACCAUUUAACUUCAUGGGUGAUCAAUAGAAAAGUCAAACGCAAUUUGGAGUAAUUGUGUGUACUAGUAAAAUUGUAGGACACAAAAAGCACUAAUAUCAUGACUCUCCACUAAAUACAUUAGGAUCACUCUUUCAAAAAAAAAAAAAAAAAAAAAAAAAAGAACACUAGGAUCACCUAUGACACCAUGUAUUUCAAGAAAUCUCCAUUAUGUGUUUCUGAAAAUUGAAAGUAGAGCCUCAUGGAGAGUAACUUGUAUGCAUUUGGGAAAGAAUAAUUACGUAGCAACAAAAUUGUAAUAAUGUAGAACAACUCACUCUAUAGUGUGUGUGUGUGCAGAGAUCUCAUGUUUAUCAGUCUUGUUUUAGCUGUAUAUUUUAGAGAUAUGUGGUGGAUAUUAGUCUCAAACUCUAGCUCUGCUUUUGCUUUAAUAUAAUGUGAUGCUUUGCUUGUCAUAUUCUGGUUGAUAAAAGCCAAAUGCGUGAUAGCCAGAUAAGCCAUGCAUGCCUUUCUCUCUCUCUUUUUUUUUUUUUUUUUGUAGUGCUUAAUUCUUCGGUAAGCAGUUGCUAGUAUCGAAUUGCGUAGACACCAUUUUAAGAUGAGUCGUAACAAGUUGAUGCAGCUAAGCGGAGCCCAGUUGUUAAAUGCAAGCCAUGGAUGAGGUUAAAGUCCAUUAAUUCUCUGUGGACAAACUGGUGCAAUAUGCCCAAAAUAAGCACCGCAUUCACUGGCCCAAUUUGAUUGCAUUAGCUGCAGCAUGCAUGCAGUAUCCAGCUGUAGUUGUCUGUCUCACUUAAUAUAUCUCAAAUAAGGGUGCUGUCGAGUUGAGUUAUACCUGAGCUCGACUUGAUUCACACCCAAAUUCGAGUAUAUAUCCGUUCAAGACAUAUAGCUUGUGCUCGAGCUCGAUUCGAUAAGGUUCGAGUAGAUUAACUCGAAAGCUCGAUCUCUUACUUAGAAUUCAGAGACCCAAAAUUUUCAAAAUUCACAGCCUUUAUUUCACAAGAUUCAUUGCAUUUCAAAUGUAAAGAGCUGCACAGCAGACAGGAGCCCUCUGAAUUUGUUGGGGCUAUCAAGAUCUUUGGUCAAAGAUUACUACUAGUACUAAUUUGCUCUUGGCACCAUAGGUGGCUGAUCCUGCAAGUCCGGAAACCUGUCUUUGAAAAUGCGCCACGUGUCAAGCUGAGAUGGACAGCCAGCUGGCAAAGUUAAAUCAAAACACGCAUCCCAAGGGAUGGUUUCAAAAAACUUUCCAAGCUGUCGUCCGUACGCUCACAGGCCGAGGGUUGACCCAACAAAACAAACGCCGAGUCCACUUAAAUCAAAUGCCAAACGUGUCAUAUUGCCCAGCCCAAACGUGCAGCGCACGUGGUCAUUCACCGCGUGCUCCCCACAGCUGGCGUUUUAGUCCGGAAUUCUAAGUCGGCUGGCUAAACCUUAUCCUCCUCCUUUUUGGAGCUGUGAUAAAUCCACCCGGAUUUCAUCAAACCAGCUCUUAAUCUAAACUUAAUAAUAUCUUUUUGCAUAUAAUGACGUCUUUUUUUUUUGGCGUUUUGAGCAGCCAUCAUUUUCAAGAUUGAUGGCUGAGUAAUUGAAUACUCUAAUCUCUUCUACCCUACACAACGAAGAAAAUCUCCUAGCUGAUUAAUAUAUUGUAUGAUGAGACAAAUAAGGGGACAAUAAAUGAUAUUAAAGUUAGAAAAAUGAUUUAUUAAGUGACUUUAUAACGAUUUUUUAAUUUUUGACACGUGAACAUAUCGUAUUACAAUAGGGUGAAGUUUAACUCUUAAAAUUAAUGAUACAUAUAAUAAUUAUGGAAAAUAUUGAAUGAAUUAUUUAAUAGUAAUGCAAGUAUUAGAUUUUCAUCAUAAAAUAAAAUCCGUUAUGACUGCAAACAAAAUAGUAAGGGGAAUGACAAAAAUUCAUGCCCAUGGUAAGUUUUAGAGUGUAAUACACCAUUUGAGAAAAAAAAAAUUUGUCUGUAUUAUAAAUGCAUUUUUCGUUCACUUUUUUUAAUCAUCUUUUAUCAAAAUAUUUCAAUUAUGAACUUUAUUCCAUAAUGCACAUUUACAGUAAAACAGCAUUCACAAUAUUGAAACAAAUGUGAUCAAAAGUAUUUCUAUUGUAUAUUUUUUAGUUCUGCAGUGUGUACUAUAUUAUAUAUAUAUAUAUACACAUUUCAUGCAAAGUCCAUAAUUAUUUUCUAUAGUUCUUUGAAAUAGACCCAAAUUUGACCCCAAUACACCUCCAAAGAUCAAAGCUUUCUCCCCGAAAAGAUUCAAAAGAUUCACCUGAUUUAAUAACAGAGGUCAGUUUCGCUUCUCAAUUUCAGGAUGUCUUUCAUCCUUUUUCAAUUUGAGUUUUGCAAAUUUAGGGCUUUUGAUAAUUGGUUUUUCUCUUGUUCACGUUUUUCUCAGUUGGGCUUUGCUUAGAUCACUAAUUUAUUCAAUUACAGUAAACGGGUUUCUCUUUAAUUGGCUUGAUGUCUUGCUUUCUUCAUUUUCUACUGCAUUUGUUGAAUUUUUAGUUGUAAUUUAGUGUAGAUUGUUUCUGAAUUGAUUCUUUUAUGUGAAAAAGGUGUUCUUGGGCUCGUGCAGAUAAUUGAAAACUAUCAAUUUGAGGGGAAAAGAAGAAUUUUGAGUUGUGGGGUUUAGGUUGGCGACUUUUGUUCUGAAUUUUUUGGGGAGAUAAUACAGAACCUUGGAAAAAUGUUGUCAAGAUCGUAUACUAAUCUCUUAGAUUUGGCAUCCGGGAAUAUUCCGGUAAUGGGUAGAGAGAAGGAAAGGAGAAGGUUUCCUAGGGUCAUGACCGUGCCCGGAAGUAUAUGUGAGCUAGAUGAUGACCAGGCGCAUAGUGUUGCGUCGGAUAAUCCGUCUUCAAUAGCUGGUGAUAGGAUGAUAGUUGUGUCAAAUCAGUUGCCAUUGAAAGCUAAGCGAAGACCUGAUAAUAAAGGAUGGAGCUUUACUUGGAAUGAGGAUUCAUUGCUUCUGAGGCUUAAAGAUGGUUUGCCAGAAGAUAUGGAAGUGCAAUACGUUGGGUCACUGUGCGUUGAUGUUGAUCCAAUUGAACAAGAUGAUGUUGCCAAUUAUCUUUUGGAAAAAUUUAAAUGCGUGCCGACUUUUCUUCCGCCGAAUAUUGUGGAGAAGUAUUACAACGGUUUCUGCAAGAAGCAGUUGUGGCCGCUCUUUCACUACAUGCUGCCAUUUUCUGCUGAUAAUGGAGGGCGGUUUGAUCGUUCCAUGUGGGAAGCAUACGUGUCGGCCAACAAGAUAUUUUCGCAGAGAGUGAUUGAGGUGCUAAAUCCUGAGGAUGACUUUGUUUGGAUUCAUGAUUAUCAUUUAAUGGUGUUGCCCACUUUCUUGAGGAGGCGCUUUACUCGAUUGAGGAUGGGGUUCUUCCUCCACAGUCCAUUUCCUUCAUCAGAGAUAUACAGGACACUUCCUGUUAGAGAAGAGAUUCUUAAGGCUUUACUUAAUUGCGAUCUUAUUGGUUUUCAUACUUUUGACUAUGCCCGGCACUUCCUCUCUUGUUGUAGUCGCAUGAUGGGCUUGGAGUAUUUAUCAAAAAGGGGUUAUAUAGGGUUGGAUUACUUUGGUAGGACCGUUGGUAUUAAAAUCAUGCCCGUUGGAAUACAUAUGGGCCAUGUUGAAUCAGUGAUGAAACUUGCUGAUAAGGAGAUGAGGUAUGAAGAGCUGAAGAAGCAAUUUGAAGGGAAAACCGUGUUGCUUGGGGUCGAUGAUAUGGAUAUCUUCAAAGGCAUCAAUUUGAAAAUCCUAGCUAUGGAGAAUAUGCUCAAGCAACAUUCGAAAUGGCAAGGAAGGGCAGUGCUGCUUCAGAUUUUAAAUCCUGUUAGAGGAAGAGGGUUGGACUUGGAGCAAAUACAGGCUGAAAUACAGGAAAGCUGCAACAGGAUCAAUGAGAAAUUUGGAAAGCCUGGAUAUCAACCUGUUGUUCUAAUUGACAGGCCUGUGCCCAUCUCAGAGAGAAUGGCUUAUUACAGGAUUGCUGAGUGUGUUGUGGUAACUGCAGUAAGGGAUGGGAUGAACCUGACCCCAUAUGAAUACAUUGUUUGUAGACAGGGAAUACCUGGUGCAGAAGCAGGCUCAGAUUUGAGUGGAACCAAAAAGAGCAUGCUGGUUGUUUCAGAAUUCAUUGGGUGUUCUCCUUCCCUUAGCGGGGCAAUACGAGUCAACCCAUGGAAUGUUGAAGCAACUUCUGAGGCACUGAAUGAGGCUAUAUCAAUGUCUGACCAAGAGAAAGAACUGCGACAUGAGAAGCAUUAUCGUUAUGUAAGUACGCAUGAUGUGGCAUAUUGGGCAAGAAGCUUCCUGCAAGACUUGGAGAGGACAUGUGCUGAUCAUUUUAGGAAGAGAUCUUAUGGCAUAGGUUUGGGAUUCGGGUUCAGAGUUGUAGCUCUGGAUCCUAACUUUAGAAAGCUUUCAAUUGAUGAUAUUGUGUCAGCUUACACUAAGGCUCAGCAUAGGGCCAUAUUGUUGGACUAUGACGGGACUGUAAUGCCUCAAAAUUCCAUCAUCAAAACUCCAAACCCUGAAGUGCUCUCUAUCUUGAACACACUCUGUGGGGAUCCAAAUAAUGUGGUCUUCAUAGUCAGCGGAAGGGGGAGGGACAGCUUAAGCAGAUGGUUUGAGCCUUGCAAACAGCUGGGACUUGCAGCUGAACAUGGCUACUUCUUAAGGUUUGGUUUCCUAGAACGUGUUUUUCUGGUUUCAAAUUUUCAUUGACAUCUUUUAUGGCUUCAGAUGUUCCAGUGGUGCUGUCUUGUGUCCGGUUUGAUGCCUUGAAAUGGUUUUACACUGAAACUUCACAUAGUUAUCGUCUAUUUUUGCUAAUAAUAUAUAUAGAAGUAUUCUUCUGAUUGACGAUUUGUUGUUCUUUAUACUUGUCCUGGUAAGUAGGUUUACUGUUCACUCUCUUUGGGAAUCCAAUUGGAAGGCACUUAUGAAGUUAAUGAAGAAAUGUGGUCAAAAUUGAUUCUGAGGGGCUUCUGGUUUUAAGCUUUGUGUCUUUAGGGUUUAAUGGGGUUAGGUAAAUAGUUAGCCUACACAUUAAUUCGCAACCUGUACAGCUUCUCUAAUGAUGGGGUCAGUGGUUAACUAAAUACCCAGUAACUACUCAAGUAGUUUAUAGAGGACCUUCAUUUUGCUGGAGUAGUGAAUGUUUUAGCUUCAUUUCUUUUUCUCUCUUGACCAGAUAUUUUGUAAACGUUAAUGCUUAAGUUGGAAUGCAGUUAAGGAUACUUGGUGGUUUCUAGGAGCCCAUUAUCUAGAUAUGGGUGCUAAUGGAGCACUCCGGGUAAGGGUUUCUUGUGGAAAGAAAUUAAUUGGGAUUGGACAAUUUGGUACUGGAAAUGCUAUACACAGAACCAAUAAACAACACAAAAAAAAAAAAAAACAAAAAAGAACCAAUAAAAAAACCACGUUUCCUUUGUUGUUGUUUUGCUCUAUUACUAAUUCUGCAAAUUGGCAGGUGGUCACAACAUAAAGACUGGGAGACCUGUGGUCAGAAUUCUGAAUUUGGAUGGAUGCAAAUUGCUGAACCUGUAAUGAAAUCGUAUACUGAGGCAACAGAUGGUUCUUGCAUUGAGAAGAAAGAAAGUGCUUUGGUCUGGCAGUAUGGGGAUGCAGACCCAGACUUUGGGUAUUCUCAGGCAAAGGAGAUGUUGGAUCAUCUUGAGAGCGUUUUAGCAAAUGAGCCUGUUUCUGUAAAGAGUGGCCAGCAUAUCGUAGAAGUCAAGCCACAGGCAUGUAGUUUGCUUCUUGAUUUGCAUGUUAACUAUUUUAUUCUACUUUUAGUUCUUAUGUUUUGUCUACCUGUUUGAUUGUCUUCUGCAAGCAGACUGGCCUGAUUUUUAUUGUAGCUCAGCAGAAUUAUGAAUGAUAAUAAAUGAUGUUGAAGUCCUCAUGAAUUUAUAAAUGACAGUGAAGUCCCCAGCACUUAUAGUGUUGGCAUUAUAAGAGUUACUAAUAAUUUUAUAACUUUGCUUAUGCAGUCCCAUUCUUCAUGUACUAUAUGAAUCUAUAAAUGAAAAUGAAAUCCGCAGCCCUAUACACUCAUCAAGAUCUGUUUAACCAUUUGUAGUCACCCUUAGUGGGUUGUCUUUGUAUUGUGAGGUCAUUUAUUUUCUUGUUGUGUUGUUUCCCAGUAUGAUUACUUGGUUGCUGCACUUUCAUUUGGUUCUCUUUCCUUGUAACCUUCUUGGAAUGUUAAUCUCGUUGAGCAUAGAGUGCGGAAGGAAUUGGUGGAUACUAGCUUCAUAAUUUACCUGAUAGGUUGGGAAUCAUGUAGAUGCGGAGUAUGAUUUUCCUUUGAGUGCAGCUACAUCAUUUAGCAAUCUGGAGUUGAUUAUGUUUACUCGAUCAUUUUGCAAUGGAUUGUUUAUAUUAUUUUAUUGUAUUAAAUAGGGUUCCUUUUGCUUUCAUUUCUUCUGUGUCCAUUGCUUUUCAUUAACAUAUGCAUUGUGAUUCUAAUCUGAUAAUGGUUGGGAUAUGUUACACCUAAUUAGACUACUGGUUAUCUAAAACAACUGAUUGAUUUUGCCUCAUAGUUUGAGAAGUAAAUGUCUAAUAAACAAUUCAGCCAACUUGGUUACUGUGGGUCUCCAGCAGUAUAGUGCAACACUUACACAUUUGGCUUUGAAUUUUGAACAUCAUAAUUGGGAGUGUCUAAUCCUUGUGUUCUUUCAGGGGGUCAGCAAAGGCUCAGUUGCAGAAAGAAUAUUUACAUCCAUGGUGGAGAAAGGGAAACAGGCUGAUUUUGUGCUUUGCAUUGGUGAUGACAGAUCUGAUGAGGAUAUGUUUGAAAUUAUAGGCGCUGCAAUAUCAAGAAAUAUUCUUUCUUACAAAGCUGAAGUAUUUGCCUGCACAGUUGGACAAAAACCGAGUAAAGCGAAAUACUACUUGGAUGACCCAUCUGAGGUGAUAAACAUGCUUGACUCUCUUGCUGAUGCCACUCAUACUCCAGUUACCUCUGAAGAUGAAACAGAAGAUUCUUCCUGAAACAAAUCAUCAGGUUUCUUAUUGAUUUCUUCUACACAUGGAGUUCCUGAUUUGGUGGUGCAUGUAUGCUUAGAAGGGCAUUAGGUUUUAGAUUUAGGAAAUCAAGUCUAGUAGUCUUCCCUUUCUGCUUUGCGUUUAUUUACCUCUUGUCUCUAUUUCUUCAGUGCCUUCCAAGAUAGAUACCAAUCCAGUGAGGAGAAGGCAAAGUUUUGUUUGGUGCAGAAUUCUUUUUGGGGUGAAUCUAUUAGAAGUAGUUGGGAUCUUGGGAUGAAUUUAAUGACAGGAAGGUGUGAUUUUGUGAGGUUAGAUUUUAGUGCGAAACUGUGGACAGGAUUUUAAGCGUGUUCUUGGUGGUAAAUGACAAUAAUUGUGCAUUACUGAAUCUGGUAAUCAGAGAGAUUGAGGCUGUCGUAACUAACAUGGAUGAAGUUUGGCGCUAUUCCUCUUAAUUAAUGGAAGCAACAUAAUUUUGAAUUUCUGAAUAUUCCUUGGCAUCUUGUUGAGAAUAUAACAUGUUGUCUGCUUGAACUUCACAUGCCGUAGAUGAAAAGGAUCCUUUGGCACUUGUGAUACCAUUUGGGAGUUGAGGCUUGUUGCCCUCGUUGUAGACCUGAGAUUGUUUAUGGCCUCCAAAGGAGCAAAUUACCUAUGCAUGAAGGGUGACCUACUGAAUGAAGUCUGUCAAGGUCUGAAGCCAGAAAAUCAGUAUUAAAAUGUUAGAUCAAGGGAAUUUGUAUUUCUGCAUUUGUCCUGCUUGACUGGAGAAGAAGGCCGCAAUGUUCUUUUGGAUGGCAAUAUUUGUACUAAUGAAAGCAAUGUGGAUGCAAGAAUUAGAAUAAUCAUGACAAUAAUUCUGUUUGGCAGACAUAGUUCACCCUGGAUCUUAACUGUAGCAUUGGCUUGUCACCCUUUUGAAUUCUUUUCGAAAUAAACAUUGGUAUAUUGUUUAUACAUGUACAUAUUCUGGCAUGCUGUUGUCCUCUUGAAGUUGAACAUCCCAGUUCCAUAAAUCGGAUUGUUUGUUUUGUCAUAUCUAGUUAUUUAUGUUGGUCUUUCAGUUCCAUUGUUGUAUGAUCAAAAGGUUGUUUACUUAAAUUCUUUUUAGUGUACCGGAUUACAGGAGGAGUUUUGUACUUCGCUUAACAUAAAUGCUGUUUGCCCAGGGGAAAAAUGUUUGAUAUGCCGUGUAUUUUGCUGAACAUCGAAUACUGUACCACGCCUUUUCAUCUUUCUGUGCACCAGCAUUUUGCCUGUCAGAAGAUUCACACCACCUACUUUGGGACCCAAAGAAGGAAGAUAAUACACCUUGGCGGCCAACAUUUUGUCAUUGUUCAAGACUAGAGAUCUUCUUGUUUUUAAUCUGGUGAAAUGAGGACACUGUUGUGUUCGCUCUCCGACUUUGAAGUUUAAACAAUUUGCUGUCAAAGAGUUUAUCCUCGGAGUUUAAUACUAUCACUGAGAUAACAUUCUGCAUCUCGAUUAUGCAUGUGUGUGAUACGCAGUGAUUGUAAAGUCAGUCAUUACCCAAAAACAUCAUCAAUGUUCACAACAUGAUCUGCCAACGCAUGUAUGAAGUUGAAGCUGAUGUUUUAACUCCACUUCCAUUGCUCCUUCCAAGACAUUCACUACUGUGGACAUGCAAGGCCUUCUUGUAUGAUCAUCUUGCAGGCACCGAGCUGCGAUUCUUAUCAUCCUCUCCACUUCCUCUGCAUUAUUCUUCAUGUCCUGGUCAAAAUUUCUCACAAUGUCAAGUAACUUGUUUUCUUUAGACUUCCACUGCAAGAGAUUCAACGGAUGCGAGCAAGAUUCUGAGUGAUUAUCAACAUUUCUCCUUCCACUAAUUAUUUCAAGGAGGCCAAUCCCAAAACUGUAGAUAUCAACUUUUUCUGUCGUGAAUCGCCGUUCUGGAGCAAUGUAUCCUGGAUUUCCUUUGAUGGUUGUGACAACUUGGCUCUUGUCUCUGUCUAUGAGCUUAGACAGCCCGAAAUCAGAGACUUUGCCGUUGAAGUUUUCAUCCAGCAGGAGCUUUUGUGGUUUUACAUCAAGGUGGACGACUUUCUGGGAACAUUCUUCAUGUAAAUAAGCUAAUCCUUUUGCUACAUCAAUUGCUAUCCUCUUGCGGAUCUGCCAAUUCAGCUAACGCUCUGGAUCUCUGCUGAAAAUCCAUUUGUCCAGUGAUCCAUUAGGCACAUAUCCAUAUACCCGAAGCUGGUGAGAUUUGUCCUUGCAAUAUCCUAUCAAUUUCACGAGAUUGAAAUGAUGGAUGCUUCCAAUUGUUUUGACUUCAGCCAAGAAUCCCUUCAUAUCCAGACUUGGUUUCUCCAAAUGCUUAACAGCAACGGAGGUUCCAUCCUGUAACCUUCCCUUAAACACACUCCCAAAUCCUCCACCACCUAGCUUCUCCUCAAAAUUGCUUGGUGCCACACGGAGUUCCUCGUACGAAAACCUCAUAGGCAACCCUGGCAUUUGUAUGCUACUAUCUUUCUCUCCUUCUGGCUGUCUUGGAGGUUUUAUACUGUCUUCUACUUUUUCUUCCUUUCUUGAGAUCAACAUGUAGAUUGUGCCAAGCAAACAAUGAAAGUACAUGCACUUACAACUAUAACAGGAAUUCCCCUAAAGAUCACUGCAACAACAAAGGUGCCAACAAGAAAUGAAGAACACCAAUAUCAACGGGAGGCAAUACAAGUAACCUUUUUGCUGAAAGUGCUGAGGGCAGAAUUGAUGCUGGCAUGUUAUAACUUGUGGCACAGGGAGAGGAAGCAGGACUGGAAUUUUUACUAUUUUGCCUGACAAAAAUCUGAGAAUUUGUCUUCCCUUGAAAGAGGGAAUUAUACGUUCUUGCUAAGAAUGCAUAGCUGAAUAGUGAUUGUUUAUCAUACUAUAAAGCUUCCAACUAUCUGCCAUUUGGACUCAAAGUGAAUCGAGGUCAUCCUUGACUCUUUGUGUCUCUCUUACGUAUGCCCUUGUGUUGAUGACCAAGCAACUCUUCAAACAUCGACUAGUAAGUAAAGAUUUCUUCUUCCUUGUGGACCAGAUUGCAUGUCUUAACUGUAACCAAAAGUUUACAUCUUGAAGGACAAAUAAUUUGCAAUUUUCCAGUCAAUGCCGGUUCACACUAGAAAUUGGAAAUUUUCAGAAAUUUCGUUGUCAGUGGCAAGAGGCAACCAAUAGAUUACCUAGAGAGAGAGUAAACAUGAACUUGGAGAAGUCAUGCCUUUCGUUGUUAGUGAAACCAUGAAAUAGCAAAGUGCUCAGGAUAUUCAUCCGUCUUCUUUAGCCUUUCGUCGGAUUCGUUCAGGGAGGGAAGACCUUUUUUUUUUUUUUCAUUUUUUUGUGGGUUUAAGAAAAAGCUGUUCAUUCAGGGGACCCAUUUGACAUGAGGGGAGAUUGAUGAGAGGCUUUGUCACUCAUAUCUCAAUCAUUUACCUGCACAAGGAAAAAUAUGAACUGAAGUCUUCCACAUUGAUCAAAGUUGAUUCACAGAAUUUUCCACAAAAAUGAAUGAAUUAAGAUUGUUGACUUUUUUAUUGUAGGAAUAUUGCUACAUUCAGAGAAGAAAAAAGGCUUCAUGGUAACUAAAACCCACAAAACUUUCGAUUUUUCUAAUGUAAGUUGUAAUAAUAUGGUUACUGUCCGAGAAGAAAAAUGAUGAUGAUGGAAGUAACCGCUAACUAGUAAGAAUGAAAAAAGGUUACACCUGUUCCCCUCACCAAUAAUCUCCACAAGAACAAUAUCCAUUUUUGAAAUGAUGAAACCUACUAUUAUCUCGCACAAUAAUUUCCCGGUUUUUGACCUUCGAUAUGUACUUGAUAGCAACAUGACAAUCGCUGCAUACACGCAAAUUCUUCAUCACUCUGAUCGGAAAACCCUUUGGAGUGUUCAUCAGAGCAAAAGCAAUUGCCAGCUUCUCACUGUGGUGCACUAGGUUGUACUCCUUUUCCUCCACAUCCAUGUCAUGCAACACUGAGCCAAUAUCAGGCACAUAACCUUCUAUUCUUAUUUCUUCCAUCAGUUCAUUCAAGUAAUUCUCAAUCUCCUGUGCCAGCGGAUGAGAUUUAUCACCCAUAAUGAACUGAUAAAUCUGGUUCUUUAUCUCCAACCAGCUUAUGCCUGGCUCCUUCUUCACAUUUUGAUCUCUCAUUGCUUUUCGCAACUCUGAAACAUCCUUCCAUCUUCUGGUAGAGGCCUGAAUAUUUGCAAGGAGAACAUAGGCGGAAGAAUCUCGAGGAUCAAUUUUCAAAACUUCUUCACCUAUCCUUUUAGCCAUAUCUGAAUCUUUAUGAAUCUUACAGGCUGAUAACAAAGUCUUCCAUAUAACAGCAUCUGCCUUGAUUGGCAUUGAUCUAAUAUAGCCUUCUGCCUCGUCUAAACAGCCUGAUCUACCAAGUAGAUCCACAACACAUGUAUAAUGCUCUAAUUGAGGCUCCAGUCCAUACUUUUCCACCAUCACCUUGAAUAACUCAAGUCCCUUUUCUUUCAUUCCGCAAUGACUACAAGCAUAUAGUAAACUCAAGAAAGUGACAUCAUUCGGCUCCAAACCUUCGUGCUCCAUCCUAUCAAACAAUUCCACAGCUUCCUUUCCUCUUCCGUGAAAUCCAUAAGCAGCAAUUAUAGAACUCCACAAAACAAGAUCAGCUCCCUCUCUUUCCUCAAAAACCUUCACAGCAUCAUCCAAACAACCACUUCGUGAGUACAUGCUAACUAAUGAACUAAUAACAGGAACGACAGAAAGGGCGCCAACCUUGAUGACAUCAGCAUGAAUCUGCUGGCCCUGCCCAAGUGUGGCCAGCUCAGAACAUGAACUGAUCACGCUCACAAAUGUGAUCUUAUCCGGCCUAAACCCAGACAUUCUCAUUAUGUUGUAAAUAUCCAAGGCACCCUCUGAACACCCAUUUUGGGACCUCCCUGCAAUAAGUGUAUUGAGAACAGCCACACUAUGCAUCGGCAUCAAUCUAAUAACUUUCUCCCCUUCCUUUAAGCUCCCUGAUCUCAUAUACAUAUGACCUAACGAACUUCCAACAAUCAAAUUCAUCUCGAAACCUGACUUAACCACAUAUCCAUGAACUUGCUUUCCCUUAUUCAAGUCCUUCAACCCAGCACACCCUCUCAAAACACUCCCAAGAGUGAAUACAUCAGGUAAAAAUCCCAACUUGUGCAUUCUGGAAAACAAACUCAACCCAUCUUCGUUAAACUCGAACUGGACCGUACCAACGAUCAUCGCAUUCCAAGUGGCUAAAUUCCUAUCACCCAUUUCAUCAAACAGCUUAAACGCACUAUCCAAAUCACCAUGCUGAAUGAACCCUCCAAUUAAAAUGUUAAACGACAUAGUAUUUCUGUUGGGCAUUUUUUCGAACAGUGAGACUGCGGCGUCCAAACGGCCUAAUUUGGAGUACGCAUUGAGGAGAUGGUUGACUACAAACUUUUCCUUGAAGCAGCCAGCUGUCAAGAUGAGAGAAUGGAGUUGCUUGGCAAGGGAGAAAGAUUGGGUUUGGAUGCAUGCUUUUAGGAGGUCAGAAAAGAGAGGUGGAUAUGACCAUAUCAAAGAAGUGAAGUUGGUGAAGGCUUCGUCAAUAUGGCCUCUUGAGCAGAGGUUUUUGAACUCUGCUGUUAAUGAUUUUGUGCUGAAAGAAUGGGAGGUAAAAUUAUGGAGGGGAAGGCGAAUUGUUGAAGUCAAAAGGCCCAUGCAUUUGUGUUGGUUCAUAGGAUUGUCCAACACCCAAGCAGACUGGCUGCAUGAGGCAGCGUCACUGGAUGCAAGUUUUUCUCCCUUGUUAGUACAAGCAACUGGUUCCCAAAGCAAAUGAGCAAAUUACUUUUGGAUCCAAUACCUAAUUGUUUGUGGCAGGUUACUUUCGUGUACAUGCAAGACAACUCCUAAACAUUAUUAAACUAUUGGAUCAAAUUAUGUUUAUACUUUACUGUUAAUGCAGAGUAAUCUUUUAAACGUUACUUUUAAAAAAUUUGCGUUAAUUUUAACAUCGAGGUAUCAAUUAAGAAAGUGCCAGCAAAUUUACAUCCAACACUUUUGAGUCUAGAAUAAUUUUAACAAGAUACAAUUGGAUUGAAGCUUUAACAUAAUUCAACUAGAAUGAAGUUUUCAACUUAUGUAACUUGUAGUUAUAGACUCUGAGAUUUUCAAGAACCACAUGCCUGAUGAUGAGUUAAUAUUUGGACAUUAAAUGCAUCAUUUUCAGAGAAGCAGGUCAAAGAACAUGCAUGCUUUCACUUUCCUUUUAGAAGAGGUAUUGACCAUAAUUCAUGCUUCACAAGGGUAUGAUAUAUAUGUUGCUUAACCAUUUGCCAUCAGCACAUUGAUGUUAGGCCAAUACCCACAAGGAGAAGAUGAAACUACUAUCUUGAUGGUGACAUACAAUGGAAGGUGAAUCUGAAUUCUGCACAUUCUACUUACAAUUAAUAGCAAAUUACACGUACAUUAUGCAAAAUUUGGGAAUAUUGUACACUCAAUGAACUGAAGAUGUAUAAUCAAGCUUAACUACUAUGUACUACUUGGUGCAAUUAUACAGCUACUGGUGUUGGUACAGCAGGAGGAACCCUGUUCUCAGCUGGAAUUUCGACAAACUCAGAGAGGAUUGCUCGGAAUUCAUCUCCAGUCAACGUCUCUUUCUCAAGGAGGACUUCAACAAUUUUAUCAAUUGCUUCGCGGUUAUUCCUAAUGUGGAUUAAAGCAACCUCAUACGCAGUAUCUGAAAUUCUCUUGACAGCAGCAUCAAUGUCUUCAGCAAGCUUCUCGGACAUUGAAUUCCUAGCCAUCAUUCGCAUAAUGACGUCGCCACUUUGAGCUGAUGAGUCCAUCAAAGACCACGGGCCAAUAUCUGACAUGCCAAAGGUGACCACCAUCUGCAAAAAAGAUUGAACACCUAAUUUAUUUCCACAGAAGUAGAAAUGUUCAAUGUACAAAUAAUGUAUGUAAAACUACAAAGGAACGUGGCCAAUUGAUUGUUCUAAGAUCAUUCUGAAGUACUUAAAAGUAUUCUAGGAGAAAUCCUUCCAACAGGCGGUUUGAGCUGCCUAAUCCAGUUCUUUGGAAGUUUAGGUAGAGGACUUUGACCAUUCUCUGUGCUUUUCAAUCCCUCAAAACUAAAAGAUUAUAGAAAUUGGCUACAGAACUUGCAGCAUUGUGACUGAUUUGAAAGGAUUCAAAAUGAUUGUUGAAUUCCUCAAAGAAGUCUAGCCACCAUAGAAUGAUAAGUAAAGAAAAAUGUUUGAAAAGAGGAAAGACUGAUACACCUGUUUGGCCAAACCAGUAAUCUGAUACAAAUCACCAGCAGCACCUGUUGUCACCUCAGGCUCGCCAAAGAUCACUUCCUCAGCAGCUCUUCCACCAAGCCCCCCAACAAUUCUAGCAAAGAGUUGCUGCUUGGAGAUCAAGGUUGGGUCAUCUGCAGGAAUAAACCAGGUCAGACCCCGAGCCUGACCACGUGGGACUAGGGUGACCUUCUGAACAGCAUCAUGCCCUGGAGUGAGAGUUCUGGAUAAUAACAAACUUGAGACAUUAGUCUAGACUCUAGAGUCUGUAUAAACAAUUCUACUUGAUCUUACCAAAAAAAAAAAAAAAGGAAUCGGCUCCAAUCAGGUAGAUAUCAGGAAGAUCACAAUUUUCUUAGAUCUUAAUCCACACAUCUCUCAACAGCAUUAAGUUAAUCCAUUCAUGUCUAAUGACUUGAUUUGCAUACUUGAAAUCUCAUGUAAAACUAACACCAAGCCACCAACUAGAUCUAAAGAAUUUUAUCCUAUAUUGUUCAACUUGUGUGCUUCUUUGUGAAUCAGAAGUGAAGCAAGGAUAUGAGCUCAAAAUGCAUAGAUUCAGAACUGAGCAUGAAAAUCAGCUAAUGAUUGUGAAAAAUCUGAAGAAGUCGAGCUCCAGUAAAUACUAUCAUGACUAUCAUCACAUAGAAAUAGUGACUAAAGCUCAGUAUCAAGGACAGAUCUUAGGAAAGUGCCAAACCAGGGAUGCAAGUUCAAAAUACUGGAAUGUCUUAAUCUCUAAUAACAUACGCAGGUCCCCAACCCCAUUUCCAGUAAUAUGAGAAAAAAUGAAAAAUCAUUCACUUCAUAGAAUCCAUAAAGUUUGACUUAAGGCUUAAUUGUUCAGGUGCUGAAUACUGAUUACAAGAGGCAGCAGGGUGAAAAGUGAUAAUUAAUAUAAAAAACAACUUGCCAAAGUUUGUAUUCCACCAGACUGUAGACUUAAUAACCAUGGGAGGAUGUAAGCUUUAGCCUUAAUUUUAUUUAUCUAUUAUUUUUUUUCAAAGAUGACUUGUCAGGAUAAAAUACCUCGAAUUAAUUAAGACAAGCUUGACAAUCUCAAAACUUACCCACAGACAGCAUGCCCAACUUCAUGGUAUGCAACCAGACUUUUGCUCUUGCCAUCAGUCAUAACUGUCCCUUCCAUUCCUGCAACUAUUCUAUCAAUUGAAUCGUCAAUCUCUUUUGAUGAGAUUGCUGCCUUCCCACGUCGGCCAGCCAAGAUAGCAGCCUCAUUUAAGAGAUUAGCAAGAUCUGCUCCACUAAAACCAGGUGUUCUCAUGGCUAUCACUUCAAGAGACACAUCUGAAUCAAAUUUUUUAUUGCUAGCAUGAACUUUUAGAAUUUCUGUUCUUCCCCGAAUAUCUGGUACAUCAACGGUUACCUGUGCAAGAGCACAAAAUUAAAUAUUUUCCAUUAAACAAGUAUUUUCCAUUAAACCUCAGUUUGAGGAGUGAGAAUCACUGAAGAAGCUAUACCUGUCUAUCAAAACGACCUGGUCUCAACAGGGCAGAGUCAAGAAUGUCAGGACGGUUAGUAGCCGCAAUUACAAUAAUGCCAGUGUUUCCUUCAAAACCAUCCAUUUCUGUCAAAAGCUGGUUGAGGGUCUGUUCUCUUUCAUCAUUGCCUCCUCCAAUGCCAGUUCCUCUUUGCCGCCCAACAGCAUCAAUUUCAUCAACAAAUACAAUGCAUGGAGCGUUCUCCUUUGCUUUCUUGAAAAGAUCACGGACACGAGAGGCACCGACACCAACAAACAUCUCUACGAACUCUGAACCUGAAAUCGAGAAAAAUGGAACACCCGCUUCACCAGCAAUUGCUUUAGCCAGGAGGGUUUUUCCAGUACCCGGGGGACCAACAAGAAGGACCCCCUUAGGGAUACGAGCUCCCACGGCAGUAAACCUUUCAGGCUUCUUCAAGAACUCCACAACCUCCAUAAAAUCUUGUUUUGCUUCAUCCACCCCUGCAACAUCAUCAAAGGUCACACCAGUGUUUGGUUCCAUUUGGAACUUGGCUUUUGAUUGACCAAAGGCCAAUGGAAAACCAGGCCCACCAGGACCACCCAUCCCUCCAGAAGAUCGCCUUGAAAGUAGGAAUAGACCUCCAAUCAAGAUCAGUGGGAAGGCCAAGUUUCCAAUCAAGUUGAACAACAAAGAACCAGAGUCCUCUUGAGCAUUGUGAGCAGCAAAGUCAAUGUUUUUUUCUCUAAAUUUCUGAAGAAGCUCUUGUGGAAGUCCUGGAAGUUGCACGCGAACUCUCUGCACCCGGUUACCCAACUCAGGGGAGAUUGCCUCAACAAUAGCAAUAGUUCCAUUUUCAUAUAGAUCUACUCUCUUCACUCUAUCCUUGUCCAAAUACUCCAAAAAUCUAGAAUAAGACAUCCUUGAAUUAGAAACCCCUUGCUCAUCGGCAUAAGCUUUUCCAUCAUUAAGUAAUGCUGCUCCACCUAAUCCUACAUUUCCCAGCAACAGUUUCAGGAAGCCUCUCCUCCCUUCAUGUGAUCUCUGGUCAAGGGAUGAUUUUACUAUGAUGAAUUUAGAUCUUCUACUCAGUGAUGGGAGGUUUGAGGAUAAGCAAAGCUGCCUGCCAUAUAUUUCUUUGCUAAAACCAGAAUGGGAAGAUAGACCAUUUCCUACUACAGAUACCGAUGAUACUGCCAUCUGUAAGAGAAGCAUAGGAAUGAAAACAGAAACUACUAAGUAUAUACACCAGAAACUGAUUUGAUUACAAGAAGGUCCAACUAAUAUUGCUAAAACAGAAUUAUCCAUAGCAGGGUGCCCAGUUUGCCGUUACUACAACUAGAGGAUUGAAAUAUUUGUACCUUAAAAGCUCGCUCAACUGAUAUAUUAUGAUUCCAAGAUGAUGGAUCUUACUGACGUUAAAGCAAAACGAGGCAAUACUUGAGCUUAUCAUAUACAAUUAUCAACUUCCGCUCACAGUAUCAUUUCAUUUUGUAAGCUUUAGCAAUAUUGAAAAAUCUCACAUCAGUAGUACUACAUGCAAUACUUAGAAGUUGAGUUGCCACUUGAUUUAAUUGCUUACAUUACUAGAAAGAAACUAAACAAUUUUUUUUUAAUUUCUUCAGAACUGAAUUAAAAAGGUACUAAAAAAAGCUAGAAUAUCGCGCACCAAAUAAGUCCAUUCAUCUAAAUCUUCAAUAUCCACAACUUUAGUAUAACAAUUGACUGGAUACCAAAAUUGAGGAGAAGUCCUGAAUUUAACCAACCAAAUAAAAGCUUACACAUUCACUCCUUAUUAUUUAUGAAACUAAAGCAGCUUGAAAAAAAAAAGGAGAAAAGACAAGAACUCUACAUUGGUUCUUCCUACAUUCCAGCUUAACCCAAAAAAAAAAAAAAAAAAAGCUCAAACCAUAGCCAACGGAAUUAUCCUAGCGGCAGUAUGCUAAAUCAACCGACCAUGUUUUCCAUCCAGCACUCAAAGACACCAAACAAAAAUAUUGAAAUAGGAAAACUCAACAUUUAAAAUCCAAAAUUUCUCUUUUUCUUCAAAAGCCCAUUUUGCAAAAUCAAUAGAUAGAGCAAUAUCCUUUACCUAUCCAUAUGUGCUAUACUCACUUAUAUAAAGAGUUGCCUGCGUCAAUAAGCCACUAAUCCACUAACCAAUCGAAAAGUUCUUUACUUUCACUUAAUUCUCAACAAUUCUAGCACAAACAUUGAAGGAUGCAAGAAACAAGACUCAAACUUUAGUAAUCCCAACCAACAAGAAACAACAGAGCUAAAUUUCACAAAUCAAUAACCCGCAAGCGCAAAAAAUCAAGAAAUAAAAACAAAGAAAUUCUGAGAAGAUUGAAAUACCAGUCAGGUAAAUGGGCUGUAGGACUUCGGAGUAGUAGGAGGAGGAAAGAAACUGACUAUUGAGAGAGGGAAGCAAUCGUUAAAGAAGGACUUAAAGAAAAUGGAUGUGGUUUGGAAAACGUAGACGUGGCACUAUUUCAGUUGCUGAUUGAUUUGUCUACAAUUUCUUUUUUUUUUUUUGAAGGAAUUUGUCUACAAUUUCCACAUUGCAAAGAUUUUUUUUCCUUGUUUGGCAUUUUCUUCAAGACUUUAUAUCUGCCCCAUGUUUUUUCUUCUGAGCCGUCCUUGACUUCAAUCCCUUUUUUAUUUCAGUCCUGAAGUUUAAGAUAUAACGCUGGAAAAAAGAGCUAUCUGGGACCAAAGACGUGUUUUUUUAAAAAAUUAAUCUAAAUAAGGGUAAUUCUAAGGUCCAGGGCCCUGUUUUGGACACGGGGAUCCAUUUUCUCCACUAUCACAAUUUGGAUUAUAGAGAAAAUUAAAUGUGGGAGGUGGACAAGUUUGAAAUUUGACUGGUGGGUAUUAAUUUUGGGCACAUAUUUUAACAAGUAAAAAAAUUUGCUAUGUUUUUUAAUGUCUACAUCACUUGUUUUAGUGUUUAUUUUUGUUGUAUUAGUAUUUACAUUGUAUCAUGCAAUUGCCACUAUCAGUUGUUUUAGUGUUCUUUCAGAACCUUAAGCAAAUAAUUGGAUGCUUAUCUUUUUUGUGUGUUCGUGAUUGGAUUAUGAAAUCUUAAUUAAGCACCAGAAGUGAAUGGACCCCUUUUUUCUUUUCUGCCAACUAGCAAAGCAACAGAAUCAAUAAUUAGUUUUCUGGCCUCCCCUGUUUCCUUUGACAUGUAGAGAAGUGCAAGCAUUGAGUUCCAGUUAGUUAGACAGAUGAAUCUGAUUUCUUGAUCCGCAGAUGUGAAUGUGUGAAAAAAUCCAGUGCAUUUUCACAUUGUUCCAGAUGGGAUUUUCAGAAACAAUGAAACAUCAGUGACUGCUGACUGAUUGGUCCUGGUAAUUCUGUUAGCUCUUUGGUAAACUAUCUGCAUUGAUCGUAUUCAAGGAUUGGCCAGAUGCUGUCACAUAUGACUCAUAUAUGAGGUACUUGCUAUAGAAGUGUCUCUAGCUGUUUGUUUUUCUUUCUGAACCAGGGGAUUCGUGCAACUCUCUGGAACUCAACUGGAACAAUCUUUGAACUGUAUAAUUUGCAGAGCUUAUGUCUCAAUUGAUUUUCAUCUAAAUGGAGACACUACUCAAAUACUACUAAAGAAUCUUAGAAAUUUGGAAAAGAGCUUCGACUAGAAUCUGAAGCACAAGGAAAAAUGGACAGGGGAAAUUAAUCCAUUUCUAGUCAAUCAAUCCAAGUUCUACCUAGUCUUGCCUGGAAAAGUAAAUGCAUCCUAGCUAGCAUCAGGCCGCUGCAGAUUUCUGAUGCAAAAUGACACCAUUCUAUGAUUAUGGGAAAGAGUGAACUGCUUAAUUUUUGUAAUGGAAUAUUAAAGUGUUGAUUGGUUGCAUCUUUUGGAGCUUCUAGCAUAGCCAAUUGUUUCUCAACUGACAAAUUAUUGCAGGUUGGUUAUAUCAAGAAGCACUAGGCAGAGCUCCUUGGAAGAAAAUAGUUACAGAGCCAUCCCCAUCCUCAUCCUAAUGGAAAUAUCAGGGUGUUGCAUGCCUAGUUUCAGUUUUCAGUUUUAGAACCCUAAUCCUGUGAGCAGUGAUCGUAACUCGACAAAACAAGCAAAUAUGGAAGAAAUCACAUCGCAAGCAUUAGGCAAUCCAGAGAGAAAGCGGAUAGGAUUCUCCAUCCCAAGAAAAGCACACCAUGAGGUUAAAUUUGAUUUGUUACUUCCACCAAAAAAUACAGUAAAAAAUUAUGUUGAACAAGCAUAAAAUCAGAUGGCAGCCCAAAAGGCCAAAACUCACCGGAAACUCAUUCACUGUGGAAAGUGCAACAAAGUGCUUGAAACUGUGUUUUCUUGAUUUUUAGUAGUCUUUUUUACAAGAUAAUUCAUUCUAUCAACUGAACAGCAGCUAUUGCAGGUAUCUUUUCUCUCAACUUUUGUGUUAGAGCUACUCGGACUGUCAUUACGCCUGCUGCAGGGCCACUUAACCGAACUUUCACCACGUAGUCAUUAAUCUGAACGAGCUCCAGUUCUCCACCACCUGUGCCAGCCAGAUAGGGUCUAAUCUCUGAAAGAACCUGCAUAAUUUCAAAGCCUACCUCUCUUAGCAGCAAUGACUAAAGACUCCUUUAAUCAAUCACAGACGCAAGAGUACCUAAGAGAUGGACUAAAGAAAUAAAAACAUUCAAAACGAACAUUAAUCAGGUUAUUUGCACAAUAUGUGAUGUUCCAGAGUUCCUGAGAUGCAUGGAACUUGAAAGCAUAUGAAUUUCAUACGGCUUCUAUGAAGAUUAGGCAGAAUUCAGUUCCAAAGUAACAUAAAGACUCGUGUAAAAUCACAACCAAUCAACUCAAAUGCAAUCCUAAGAAGAGAGCAGUAGACUACAUAUGUGGAGGCUAGGAGGCUUAGAUUUCUCUAUGUGAGAAUAAUGAUGGGGGAAAAAGACGAAAAUCACAUUUCUCACCAAGGAAAUAGUUCAAAUGAAAGAGCUGCACACUAUCAGCAAUGCAGCCAACUAGCUAACUUGAUUGGCUGACAAGUAAUAAGGCAUAGUUUUGCAGUAUUGGUUUGACAAGAAAGAAGACAAUUUUACAAGUAGGCCAAUUUUUUCUUUAUAUCCAACAGAUGUGAAAUCCAUUCAUUCUUUCAGGUCUCCACCGCAAACAUAUAAGAAUAUCAUUAGCAACAGCAAUAAAUUUUCUGUGAGUUAUGACAACAGAAUUAUUUUUUUCUUUUGUUUGGUGGGAAUAUAAAAUGCAGGUGAUUGGAUAAAUGUCCAUAAACCAGAAGGUCCGGAACAAUAUUGAAACACACAGUGAAUUUGUUGCUCUAUCUUAGCUUAUUGUCAAUUACCUUCUCAACGUUCUCCUCAUUCAAUUCAAGGCCAGUUUCCGUAUCAACAAUCUGUUCCACUUCUAGUAUUUCUGGAAUCUUAUCACGAAGCCGAGUUUCAAUCCCCAUCUUCAGUGUCAUUGUUGAACUAGGACAAGACCCGCAUGCUCCUUGUAGCUUUAAUACAACCACAAGACCAUCAAUCUCAUGUAAGGCUACGUUUCCUCCAUCAGCCAUUAGGCCUGGCCUUACUUCAUCCAAUACCUUCUCAACAUUCUCCUCAGUAAGUGGCAGUACACAACUAGGUGAAACCACAGUCCCUUCAACAUCAGUAAACGAAGAGUUAAUAGAACAGUUCGAUCAUCCUCGCCGAAGUUGUUCAAAGGACAAUAUAAUUUUUUGAAUCUCUUAUUUACCUGCAUGCUUUCUAUGUCUUUGAUUUGAAUUGAAACCAAGCAAGUGCCCAGUUUUGAAUUGCCCUCUUAGAAAUGAAGAUUGUUUUGAUGCAAAUGAGCAGCCAUCCGAGCAGGGAUUCUUCAGAAUUUCCAAGAAGUAACAGAAAAAUAUCACAUUAGUAAGCCAUAAUUUGAUACUUCAAGGAAACUGAAUAUGCAAGAUCAUGUUCGUAUUCCAAACGGUUGAUUAUGGAAGUAAAGUUUAUACCUUGAGGAGGGAUAAACAGGCAGGAGAGGAAUGCUGUGAUGAAUGGUGUGUUAUUAAUGAGGUUGGUAUUGGUUUGAGAAAAUUGGUUUGGGAGUUGGCACCAGAGAAUGCAUCCAUCAUGUGCUAUCCUUUUCAGAAUGCAAAGAUGAGAACUCCCAUUUCAGUUUGUUUGAUGAUUUACAGAACAAAAUACUCCCUUUUGACAGUAGUUCAGUAGGAAGUGGCAUUUGUGCGUUAGGGAAAGAAUCUUCUAAGUGAUUGAGAACAUCUUGAUUGGCUGAUGAGGGAAAAAGAUCGAAGAAAAUUUCAGCUGGGAAGUGUUUUGAGAGUCGAGGUUCUCACACCAGUUUGUAUGGAUAGAAUCUGAGCUUAAUCGCCACGUCAAGAUUUUAAUCUAGGGGCGAUGUGAAGCCACGUCAAGAUUUUAAUCUAGGGUCGAUUUAAAGCCACGUCAAGAUUUUACUUACUGAAACGUUAAACAGAUCUAGGAGAAAACAAAAAAAAAAAAAAGGAAAAUUACAAAAGCCCAAAAAGGAAAACAGAGAAGGACAAACCUUGGAAAAUCUUGGGUUUCAAAAUGAUCUUGGGUUUCAAAACCCCUUCAAAAUCUGAUUUUGGGAUCUUGAAGCAGUGCCAUGCGCUUAUCAUUCUCAUAGUAAAGAAAGAAGAAGGGAUAAUUUCAGAAACCUCCCUUGAUGUUUUUAACAAUUUUACUUAACUUCCCUCAAGUUUAAAAAAUUACACUUACCUCCCUUGACAUAGUAAAAUACAUAUAAUACCCUCCACUUAGUAGACAAUUUUAAAUUUAAGACAAUAAAUUUACAAAAUAAAAAAAAAAAAUCUAUUUUUCUAUCUCUCGUCUAUCUUUCGCUCCUCUCUUUUCUAGUUAAUAUAACCUCUUUUUAUUAUUUUUAAUUUUGUGGAUGUUAGAAAAUUGAAAUUACAAAAUCAACAGAGGAAGUAGAUUAUGUGUCAAAUUAGAAGGAAAUAAAGAGACUCGCAGUGAUGGAGAAAUAAAUAAUGAAAUAAGAAGAAAAACUAAAGAUGUGAAAUUUGUCAUAUUUUGUUUGUUAUCAAGAAAAACUUUUAUAAAUUGUCAAUAAUUACAUAAGGACUUCUUUCAUUGGAUUAGAAAUUUUUUAUUUUGACUUUAUUGUGGAGGUAGCAUUUAUUCUUUACUUUUGAAAUAUUAAUAUUUUUAAGGCCAUAGAAGAGUUGUAAUGGUGUUUUUAUGUCAGAUUAACAUGUAUUAAAAACGUAUUUGAGUAUUGAUAUUUAAUUUUGGAGGUAUAAAAUUGAUUGUCAAUAGGAUUUGUGUGUGUGUUUUCUUUUUUUUUUUUUUGCAUCGCAAGUAUUGAUACUAUAUAUGCAAUUUGGAAUCUUUUAGACGGCUAUUUGGUUUUAGAAUUUAUGCUUGGAUGGUUGUUAGAGAUUAGACUUGUUGAUUUGGGUAAAGUGUGGAAGAGAAUGAUUGAGUAUACUAUAUUUUACUUUCUUAAUUUUGUACAAAAGCGUAAUUUAGGAUUUUUGUGAGAAAAUCUAUCUUGUUGGACCUACAUUGUGACUAAACAGUAAAAGUAGGGGAGGUAUAUGUAAGUUUUAAAACCUGGGAAAGCUCUGUGUAAUUGUUGAAAACCUCAGGGGAGGUUUGUUAAAUUGUCCCAAAAAAGAAUUAUGUAGAGUAGCAUGCUGCAAAUAGGAUUCAGUUUAGGCCAGGGCUAAACAGGAAAUGAAGCCUAGGUUGCAGGUUGCCGAUUUUGGAAUUCUUGACGACAAUGGAUUAACUUCGUGCAACUAUCUCCCUGGAAAAACAACCAUUCCAGCAAAGCUACUUUUGCGGAUUCGUUUCAAUUUGUCUGAUGGAAACUGGUAAAAACUAGUUAGCCUCUGUUAAUAAUGUUCCACAAGGCUCACUUGGUUCGUGCGAAUUUCUUUGUUAAUGUGUUUUUUGGCCUUUAGUUAUUUUUUUCUUUAUGUAAUUUCUAACUCCUCCAUUCCCUUUUUUUUUGUGGUAUUUUUAUGAUGUUUUCUGCAUAAUCUCUUUGCUCAAGUACAGCAUCCACAUUUUCUUUACUUCAUUUGCAAUUUCAUUUUGCUCAAUUGGUUGGUGGGAAACUUGGGAUAAGUAUAUGUAAUAGCUUGUGACCUUUAUUUGGAUCAGACAUUAACAUCUGUGCAUGAAAGUAACAUAGUGCGAAUCACAAUAAAGUACCGUGCAACUACCACUCUUUGCUGCCCGAGUUUUUCUUUGAUGGAAUCCAUUCCUCAUUCGCAAACUUCUUGUGGUAGAGGAAUUAUCCCAUUUGCAUCCACUGAGUCUUAUUUUGCUUCGGUUCUUCACAUUUGUUACCAAACGACUAUCUAUAUUCUGUACACAAAUAUUGUAAUUUCUUCAAUGUAUUGUCUUUCUGAAUCACAGAAGGCAGCUCCAGAAAAACAACUUCCCUAACAGUCUGCUCAAACUGGAAAUUUGUCCUUGUUAGGUCAUAUGGUUAAGGAUGGAACUCCACAAACCGCCUCAUGUUUCCAGGUACAAAAGCUUCUUCCAUGGCUCUUAUGAUUGCAACCAGAUCGCUCGCAGAAUGGUCAUUUGCAGUCACAUUGCUAGAGCCAGCUGCAGUUUCUCCGAAUCUUUCACUGAUUGCGAACCUACAAACAGGGCAUCGACCUUCGUUCUUCACCCAAGGAACAAUACAUUCCUCAUGAAACAUGUGGUUGCAAGGAGUAAUCGUAACCAUCUCUUUAGGCUCAAAAUCUUCUAAGCAAAUGGGACACCUCUUACCUUCUUCAUGCUUCUCUUUUUCUAGUUCUUUGGAUAUAGUAAGUGGGCUAUCUCGGUAGUACAGAUUUGGUUUCCUUCUCGACAAUUUUGUCAUGGGAUUAUAUGCUUCUUUCUUCAGCCUGUUCAAGACUCUCUUUUGCUCUUCUUGGGAUAAUUUGGACCCGUCUUGGGGGCCUUGCACACUCGGUUGCGGCUGAAAAUUUGGCAAAGCAAUAGCUGCAGGUGGCCAUGGUAUUGUGUUUCUUGUUGUGUCACUGUUGAAGUAUUGAGUUUGAUUCUGCAAAUGUGGUGGGGCUGGAAAACUGCAAGUCAUUUUAUUAGUUUUCGCACACUAGGAUUUCAAAAAUAUAUACCUGAUUCUUUUUUAUCCAUUCACAAAUUUGAGAUUUGGCAUCGUAUCUAUAAACUGGAAACGAAUGAUACAAACGAAGAAAAUGGUUAUAGGACUAAUCCAUUCCUCCUAGCUCUUAAGUUGGACUAGUGUGAAAAUUAAGGGACGCUUUCUUCCCCGUCCCCCUCGCCUCCCUUCUCUCUUCAAUCUAAACAACAAUACUCUAUGCUUCCUGAAUAUCCCACACAAUCAUCAUGUCCUUGCAUCAUCAGUUGGUAAUUAAAAGAACAUCAAACGGACAUAAUCAUCAGAACUGGCAUGCAUUCCAUCCUUAAAUACGCUAGAAGAAAUGUAGGGUUUGAAAUUGAAGGAAAUAAACAGAUUUUUCUAUCUUUUCUUCAAGCUAGCUCCACUUUACAUUCUGUUAUGUUUAGUUAACAAGUGUUUCUGAGCAAGCCCUUUUAAUGAAAUUUCAUUUUUUUUUGGAUUGCUCAUAUCCAGGCUGCUACUUAAUAUGCGGUAUACACUUGUGAUUUCAUUAUUUGAUACAUAUACUGGUGUGCUUUAGUCUAUGAUUCUUGGAAAACAAUUUUGACCUUACAUUCAGGUGAAACUUUGGUGUCAUUAGUAAAUGUAUUUAAGAUGGAACCAGGAUAAAAUUUGUUGCUGUAACUGGGCUCCUACUUCUUCAGCUGGAUUGGAAGAUGUGAUUAUGUUCCAAGUUUCAGUGUUGUACAAGUUCCCCGCACCCAGAGGGGGGAAGGGAACUGGAAUCAAAAUCAAAUCUUGAUGAUAACUAUUGUUUUUCAUUUCUUUUACUUUCUUGUAUGGCAUCUUUUGGAAUUGUCCACAAAGAUUUGGCAAGAGCUCAUGUGACAGUAAUUUGUAUAUUAGAGUGAAUAGGCAUGGAUAAGAAUUGUAACUUGAAGAUAAGGAUGAUUGUAUGCUAUCUCCCUUUUCCAGAAAAUGGGAAGCCCUUUUGUACUUUUAUUUGUUCUCAAGGUCCUAGGUUGGUAAGAUAAACAGUUCAAUCCCAGAAAAAGACCAGUGACCAUUCAAGGCAGUUUUGCCUUGCAAAGAAACUUCGUACAGCUUAGAUUUAUCAUGUUCCUACUUCAGCAUAGAUCUUCUAGUUAUGUAUUGUUGGAAAGAGAUUAUCCUGGGAAGUGAGGUUGUGCAGAAAGAAGAACAAAUUUACCUGGAUAUGCCAAGAAAUCCACCGGGAUUGCUUACCCCAAACAGCAACCGUGGAUCAGGAUCUCCUCCUCUGCGAUCCUGUUUCAUAUGAAAAAAGACUGAUCUGAUAUGUUCCUGGAAAUAAAUUAUCGAAUAUGAUGCACCAAUUACUUUCUUAGACAACAUAUCAAUAUGCUGAAGACUAACCAGAGGACCUCCUGCAGGUGGAGGAAACAAGGAGGACAAUCCAUUCCUGCUACUAGGUCUAGCCGAAUAUCCACCAUAAUCCAGCCCAGUUCUCAGGUAUUCUGGUGGCGUGUAAUUCUGGUUACUUCCGUUCAUAGAGUCUGUCAGCUGACGCAGAAAGGAAAAUGACUUACAACGGAGGAAAUUUCCCAGUGUUUGUAACUUUCCUGCCUUAUUACAUCUUUUUAAGUUCUCUUUGUAAAUUUCCUUUUUUUGGCAGAUGUGAAAUAUGAUUCUGUGUCCAUUUAGUUGAUCCUGUAAUUGGUGGCUUGGUGAGAUGCAUGAGAUAUGAAGCAAGGAAUCCUGUACCUUCACGCAGCUUGAUUACUUUUUCUUCCCUUGUUUUCUUGUCUGAAUGGAAUCUGAAUAAAUAGAGCAACUACGGGGAUUAGUGUAAAGCUUAAGGCCGCAAGGUGGAAUUUCCUCAUGGAACCUUGCCACAUUUGAUGCUUCACGACAGAAUUAGGUCUCUCCAGGUCCAGGUAGCUGAGCCAUGAAUGUGACAGGAAUCAAACAAACUAAUGAAAUAUAGCACAAUGAUCAAGUGCCUAUUUGUCUCAAAACAGGGAUUGAAAGACUCUUUGUUUUCAUUCAUCAUCUCUUGUUUCCUUCCAUAGAAAGCUUCAUGGACUUUCCCUUAUGAGAAGGAUGUAAAAUUUUGUUUAACUUAUCAACAUAAUCUGUUUGCACUUUCGGUUGAUUGUAACUUUUCCAUCCAAACUACACAAGCUAUAAUCACCAUGACACUGACCUUUCAGAGGACAGAGAUUGUUGCAAGUACAAUGCAUAUUAUCGAGUUAAAAUUUGCGGAGCUAGCAUCAUAAUGGAGAACAGCGAUUGCAUCCUCGCAAACAGAAUUGCACAAAUGUAAAGUAGACUCACGAACCAAAGCAUUAGGCAAUGACAAUCCCUUGAACACCUCAUCACUCAAACCAAAGGCCAUUAUCAAAUUCUCCGUGCUAUUCUCCUCCUCUAUAUUGAAUCUGUAACCAACCCAAUGCACCUUUCCGUUAACAAAUGCAUGAGUCCAGAAGUGUGGAAUCACCGCUUGAGGCAAAUUAGCAGCAAUCACCCUCCAAUUACCUACACGUAGUGCAAAAACUUCUGCUAUAGAAGGCAUAAUAUCCCCAUGACUCUGUUCAGCAUAAGCAAUUCUCACGACCUUAAAAUCACUGUUUUUUAUGUGACAUCCAAAUCCUAACAAGGAGUACAUACUAGGCCAAAAGUUUUUACAACUUGCUCGGGGCAAAGGAAGAGUGAUUUUUCGCUUGAUGAAAGGGUUGCACAGCAUAAUAAGGUCAUGUAUCCAAAAACAUCAUCAGACAAACAUAGUAACCCAUUGCUAUAAUCCACAAUCCUGAAAUAAUACUGCACUAACUGGCGAAAAGGGAAGAAUAUUUUGACCUCAUUUUCCCCUGUGAAGUCCUCAUUUUCGUGGUAUACUGAGUAACGUUCAGUCCGUCGGUGUUUGCAGUAGCGCCUCACAAGCAUUCUAUCAUCUGGGGUGGAGGAUUUUUGAGAGAGAAGCAUGAUGGGUGUGCAUGGAGACGAAAUGAAGGCUUCAGAUCAAAGAUUUCCAUGACUUAGCUACGCACCUCAGUCUCAGGAGGGUUUUCGCAGGAACCCUUCUGAGGACAUGAACUAAAACCUCUUCAGGGAAGUAAUCUGACAUUUUUUAUGAGAAAUAGAAAUGUUAAAAUAAAAAGAAAUACUGCUUUUUGGUUUUUUUUCCCCUGUUUCUUUCGGUAGGAAGGAAAAAAGGAUAUUUGACUGUAGGAAGCUUGGAAUUUUUCCAAGCCAGGAUUAUGAAGAAUGGUUUUUUCUGGUUGUCAUGGUGAUUUUAUAUCAGAUUAGCAUGUAUUAAAAACGUAUUUGAGUAUUGAUAUUUAAUUUUGGAGGUAUAAAAUUGAUUGUCAAUAGGAUUUGUGUGUGUGUGUGUUUUCUUUUUCUUUUUUUUUUUUUGCAUGUCAAGUAUUGAUACUAUAUAUGCAAUUUGGAAUCUUUUGGACGGCUACUUGGUUUUAGAAUUUAUGCUUGGAUGGUUGUUAAGGAUUAGACUUGUUGUUUUGGGUGAAAGAAAAUGAUUGAGUAGACUAUAUUUUUCUUUCUUAGUUUUAUACAAAAGGGUAAUUUACGAUUUUUGUGAGAAAAUCUAUCUUGUUGGACCUACAUUGUGACUAAACAAUAAAAAUAGGGUAGGUAUAUGUAAUUUUUAAAACUUGGAGGAGCUCUCUGUAAUUAUUGAAAACCUCAGGGGAGGUUUGUUCCAAAAAAAAUUAUAUAGAGUAGCAUGAUGCUAAUGGAAUUCAGUUUAGGCCAGGGCUAAACAGGAAAUGAAGCCUAGGUUGCAGGUUGCAGAUGUUGGAAUUCUUGACGACAAUGGAUUAACUUCGUGCAACUAUCUCCCUGCGAAAACAACCAUCCCAGCAAAGCUAAUUUUGUUUGCACAGGAAAAGCGGAUUCAUUUCAAUUUGUCUUAUGGAAACUGGUAAAAACUAGUUAGCCUCUGUUAAUAAUGUUCCACAAGGCUCCCUUAGUUAUAUUUUUUCUUUAUGUAAUUUCUAACUCCUCCAUUCCCUUUUUUUUUGUUGUAUUUUUAUGAUGUUUUCUGCAUAAUCUCUUUGCUCAAGUACAGCAUUUGCAAUUUCAGUUUGCUCGGUUGGUUGGUGGGAAACUUGGGAUAAGUAAUAUGUAAUAGCUUGUGACCUUUAUAAUUGGAUGGGACAUUAACAUCUGUGCACGGAAGUAACAUACUGCGAAUCACAAUAAAGUACUGUGCAACUAACACUCUUUGCUGCCCGAGUUUUUUUUUGAUGGAAUCCAUUCCUCAUUCGCAAACUUCUUGUGGUAGAGGAAUUAUCCCAUUUGCAUCCACUGAGUCUCAUUUUCCUUCGGUUCUUCGCAUUUGUUGCCAAACGACUAUCUAUAUUCUGUACACAAAUACUGUCAUUUCUUCAAUGUAUUGUCUUGCUGAAUCACAGAAGGUAGCUCCAGAAAAACAACUUCCCUAACAGUCUGCUCAAACUAAAAAUUUGUCCUUGUUAGGUAAGGAACUCCACAAACCUCCUCAUGUUUUCAGGUACAAAAGCUUCUUCCAUGGCUCUCACGAUUGCAGUCAGAUCGUUCCCAAAAUGGUCAUUUGCAGUCACAUUGCUAGAGCCAGCUGCAGUUUCUCCGAACCUUUCACUGAUUGCGAACCUACAAACAGGGCAUCGACCUUCGUUGUUCACCCAAGGAACAAUACAUUCCUCAUGAAACAUGUGGUUGCAAGGAGUAAUCGUAACUAUCUCUUUAGGCUCAAAAUCUUCCAAGCAAAUGGCACACCUCUUACCUUCUUCAUGCUUCUCUUUUUCUAGUUCUUUGGAAAUAGUAAGUGGGUUAUCUCGGUAGUACAGAUUUGGUUUCCUUCUCGACAAUUUUGUCACGGGAUUAUAUGCUUCUUUCUUCAGCCUGUUCAAGACUUUCUUUUGCUCUUCUUGAGAUAAUUUGGACCCGUCCUGGGGGCCUUGCACGCUCGGUUGCGGCUGAAAAUUUGGCAAAGCAAUAGCUGCAGGUGGCACACUCGGUUGCAGCUGAAAACUUGGCAAAGCAAUAGCUGCAGGUGGCGAUGGUAUUGUGUUUCUUGUUGUGUCAAUGUUGAAGUAUUGAGUUUGAUUCUGCAAAUGUGGUGGGGCUGGAAAACUGCAAGUCAUUUUAUUAGUUUUCACACACUGAGAUUUCAAAAUUAUGUACCUGAUUUUUUUUUUAUCCAUUCACAAAUUUGAGAUUUCGCAUCGUAUCCAUAAACUGGAAACGAAUGAUACAAACGAAGAAAAUGGUUAUAGGACUAAUCCAUUCCACCUAGUUCUUAAGUUGGACUAGUGUGAAAAUUAAGGGAUGCUUUCUUCCUCGUCCCCCUCGCCUCUCAUCUCUCUUCAAUCUAAACAACAAUACUCUAUGCUUCCUGAAUAUCCCACACAAUCAUCAUGUCCUUGCAUCAUCCGUUGGUAAUUAAAGAACAUCAAACGGACAUAAUCAUCAGAACUGGCAUGAAGAGGCAUGCAUUCCAUCCUUAAAUCCUCUAGAAGAAAUGUAGGGUUUGAAAUUAAAGGAAAUAAACAGAUUUUUCUAUCUUUUCUUCAAGCUAGCUCCACUUUACAUUCUGUUAUGUUUAGUUAACAAGUGUUUCUGAGCAAGCCCUUUUAAUGAAAUUUCUUUUUUUUUUUUUUUGGAUUGCUCAUAUCCAGGCUGCUACUUAAUAUGCAGUAUACACUUAUGAUUUCAUUAUUUGAUACAUAUACUGGUGUGCUUUAGUCUAUAAUUCUUGGAAAAAGAAUUUUGACCUUACAUUCGGCUCCUACUUCUUCAGUUGGAUUGGAAGAUGUGAUUAUGUUCCAAGUUUCAGUGUUGUACAAUUUCCCCUCACCCAGAGGGGGGAGGGAACCGGAAUCAAAACUAAAUCUUUAUGAUAACUAUUGUUUUUCAUUUCUUUUACUUUCUUGUGUGGCAUCUUUUGGAAUUGUCCACAAAGAUUUGGCAAGAGCUCAUGUGACAGUAAUUUGUAUAUUAGAGCGAAUAGGCAUGGAUAAGAAAUGUAACUUGAAGAUGGGAUGAUUAUAUGCUAUCUCCCCUUUCCUUAAAAUGGGAAGCCCUUUUGUACUUUUAUUUGUUCUCAAGGUCCUAGGUUGGUAAGAUAAACAGUUCAAUCUCGCUAAAAGACCAGUGACCAUACAAGGCAGUUUUACCUUGCAAAGAAACUUCGUACAGCUUAGAUUUAUCAUGUUCCUACUUCAGCAUAGAUCUUCUAGUUAUGUAUUGCUGGAAAGAGAUUAUCCUGGGAAGUGAGGGUGUGUAGAAAGAAGAACAAAUUUACCUGGAUACGCCAAGAAAUCCACUGGGAUUGCUUACCCCAAAAAUGAACCGUGGAUCAGGAUCUCCUCCUCUGGGAGCCUGUUUCAUAUGAAAAAAGACUGAUCUGAUAUGUUCCUGGAAAUAAAUUAUCCAAUAUGAUGCACCAAUGACUUUCAUAGAUAACAUAUCGAUAUGCCUAACCACAGCAAACGAGGAGGACAAUCCAUUCCUCCUACGAGGUCUAGCUGAAUAUCCACCAUAAUCCGGCCCAGUUCUCAAGUAUUCUGGUGGCGUGUAAUUCUGGUUACUUCCGUUCAUAGGGUCUGUCACAGAAAGGAAAAUGACUCUUACAACGGAGGAAAUUUCCCAGUGUUUGCAACUUUCCUGCCUUAGGUACAUCUUUUAAGUUCUCUUUGUAAAUUUACUUUUUUUGGCAGAUGUGAAAUGUGAUUCUUUGUCCAUUUAGUUGAUCCUGUAAUUGGUGGCUUGGUGAGAUGCAUGAGAUAUAAAGCAAGGAAUCCUGUACCUUCACGCAGCUUGAUUACUUUUUCUUCCCUUGCUUUUCUUGUCUGAAUGGAAUCUGAAUAAAUAGAGCAACUGCGGCGAUUACUGCAAAGCUUAAGGCCGCAAGGUGGAAUUUCCUCAUGGAACCUUGCCACAUUUGAUGCUUCACAACAGAAUUAGGUCUCUCCAGGCCCAGGUAGCUGAGCCAUGAAUGUGACAGGAAUCAAACAAACUAAUGGAAUAUAGCACAAUGAUCAAGUGCCUAUUUUUUUGUCUCAAAACAGGAAUUGAAAGUCUCUUUGUUUUCAUUCAUCAUCUCUUGUUUCCUUCCAUAGAAAGCUUCAUGGACUUUCCCUUAUGAAAAAGAUGUAAAAUUUUCAGUUUGCACUUUCUGUUGAUUGUAACUUUUCCAUCCAAACUACACAAGCUAUAAUCACCAUGACACUGACCUUUCAGAGGACAGAGAUUGUUGCAAGUACAAUGCAUAUUAUCGGGUUAAAAUUUGCAGAGCUAGCAUCAUAAUGGAGAACAGCGAUUGCAUCCUCGCAAACAGAAUUGCACAAAUGUAAAGUAGACUCACGAACCAAAGCAUUAGGCAACGAAAAUCCCUUGAACACUUCAUCGCUCAAAUCAAAGGCCAUAAUCAGAUUCUCCGUGCUAUUCUCCUUCUCUAUAUUGAAUCUGUAACCAACCCAAUGCACCUUUCCGUUAACAAAUGCUCAAGUCCAGAAGUGUGGAAUCACCACUUGAGGCAAAUUAGCAGCAAUCACCCUCCAAUUACCUACACGUAGUGCAAAAACUUCUGCUAUAGAAGGCAUAAUAUCCCCAUGACUCUGUUGAGCAUAAGCAAUUCUCACGACAGGAACCCUUUUGAGGACAUGAACUAAAACCUCUUCAGGGAAGUAAUCUGACAUUUUUGAUGAGAAAUAGAAAUGUUAAAAUAAAAAGAAACACUGCCUUUUGGUCUUUGUUUUUUCCCCGUUUCUUUUGGUAGGAAGAAAAAAAAGAUGUUUUGAGUGUAGGAAAGCUUGGAACUUUUCCAAGCCAGGAUUAUGAAGAGUGGUUUUUUCUGGUUUUAACCUGAGUUUGAGUAAUGGCUAUGAACGAUGGGAACUAAGGCGAAGCUGAAAGGACCAGCUUCGCUCCAGGCUCCCAUCAAACAGUGAAUGAUGAUGACAAAUGUCGCAACAAUAAAGUACUAUUUAUUGCCCCCUUUUCAUCUAGUUUUCCCCAGGUACCUAACAGCACUUUGGAAGGACUCGCAUCGCACGUUCAAGAAUAAAAUAAAGAACUUCUUUUCAGCUACCAAGCACAUUGCGGAAACACUCAUCUCGCAAGUUCAGGCUAACUUGCCAGAGGCCUAGUCUAUUGGAGUGCUGGCUGUUUUCUCAUGCACCAGAACUUUGGGUACGUAUUCAAAUUUAUUAGGAAAUAUUAAUUUCAGGUCCUGAUAUGAGCAUAACCAACCAGCUAAGGCCUAAAACAGUAUCAGAUAACCAUAUGCAAGCACUGCGGUCAUUUCUUUUUAUUUUUAAGAAAAUGACCUUCAAAUCUGAGUAAUGGUAAGAUAAGAGCAAAUGGUUUCCAUCAAAUCUAUUCCAAGAAUGUUUGUAGACGAAAGAAUCAUUACAUAAUUCUGCAAUCUAACAGCAGUAAAAAUGACUCUGCAGUUUAUCUAAUCAGCAGAAGCUGUAGAGCACACAGCAUACUUGAAGAAGAGGAAAGAUGAUAAGAUCUCAAUGAACAAAAACAUAAAGAAAAAUAGAGCUGAUUGAUACAUAAAAUGACCUUCUCAGAUGGUAAUUAUGAAAAAUAUGACGAAUGCCAUGAAUACCGAAAAAGAAAACAUUGCAACUCCAUAAGAAACAGUUCUGGCAGCCUCAAUUUCAGCGUUGAGAACUUAAAAAACCGAGCUUCCAACAUCUGGCUGUGCGCUGGAAGAAGAGUUUAAAUGAAGAUUCUUUUCAAUUAAGUGAUGUGAGAAGCCCCACACUUGUGUUAAGUUCUGGACCAGGAAAUACCCGAAAGGAUCUGCUCAUGAUAAGCUUCUAACUCCAGUAUGAUUCUUGUCAGCAGAAAUCACCUGCUCAUGGUCGAAGACAAGAAGAAAUUCCAGAAUAUAGAUCCCAAGGACAUGAAAGCAACGCGUGCUUGAAGAGGAACCAGCCUGAAAUUUUGACAUGUUAAAGUUGCCAGAACAUUAUUCUAUGGCAUCUCAUUGUGAUAGUUACAGGCUAAUAUAAAAAGUUAAAAGACAUCUCCAUUGCAGAAACUUAAUUUUUUUUAUAAGUAUAGACUGUAUAGUCCACUAUCAGUCUAGCAAAUUAUAAACAGGCGGGAAACUUAUUCAUUGUCAAACAAGUACCUGAUCCCACACAUGCAAAUAUACAACAUUUUCAGCCAUCGAUGAUACUGAAACUGCUUCCCCAUGAGAUCAUCAAAGAUUUUUUUUUUUCCUCUGGUAAUCAAAAAGAGUUGUUUUCUCAGCCUUUUGUCUAAGAUCCAGUGUUAGUAAGUUGGUUUUAGUUUUCAUUUCAAUGCGCGAUAUUACCCUCAGAUGCUAAGAUAUUCUAAUAUUCUUUAAGAGAUUCAUCUCUUUCAUAUUUGGAUCAACAACAACUCAUAGAUUACAACACCAAGAGAUAAAGUAGAGAAUACAUAUGUAAGGGAAAAAAAAAAAAGUCAGUAGUGGUGUUGAUCAAAUUUGCUCGGCUGCACCAAAAUAUCAAAGUUCCCAUAAAGACUGAUCUGAAACAGCAGUUAUUCGGCAAAAAAUUGAAUACUUUGUUGGUCUAAAAACAUGGUGAGAAACUGAUUUUUACCAACAAGGCGCAGGCAAUGGUAGCUUCCUUACUUAAGAGAUGAUUACGAAAGUAAAUAAGCAACAAGAAGUAGAGGUCAGCUAAAGAAGUGAAGUUAGUCCCCUUGAUAUGACGGUAAUGCUUAUAAAAUUCCAGAGCAACUUUGACAUUCACUUAAUUUGCUGGAGUAACUAAAGAAGUGAAGUUAGUCCCCUUGAUAUGAUGGUGAUGCUUAUACAAUUCAAGAGCAACUUUGAGUUUCACCCUUUCUGAAGUAACUAAAUCAUAUAUGGAAUGGUAUUACAAGCUGUCUUCCAUUUUCCUCUACAAGCAUCAUCCCUCAAGCUACAUUACUAUAGUAUAUAAUGAUAAUAUAACUACUAGAAAGUGAAUAAUUCUGUUUGUCAUUAGUAAAAUUUCCUGACAUUAGACCAAGUCCUUAACCAAGAAACUAAUCCUACCAGAUCAAGAAAAACAAAGCAAAUUACAUACCAGAAAUUCAAUAUGCUGACUGGAAUCCAAAACCUAAAUCCUGCAAAGGAAUUACAGUAGUAAAGCAUAAGUACAUACAUGUGCAUAUAACUUAGCAUUUUGCACGCUAGAAAAAGGUUCAUACCAAAAAAAAGAGCAGGAAGAGCAUCUUUCUGAUACUUAUUUGGAAGCUCUGACAGUUUCCCUUGCCACAGAUUGUUCCAUGCAAAAACGACAGCAAUUACAGUUGGACCAAGCACAAUUUGGUUCAGUAUGACCUGCAAGGAGUAACAUUUUCAGGACUUGAAAAUAAUCCAUGAAAUUUGGCUCAGGGAGAACUUGAUCGUAAUACCUACCUUAGCCAAUAAGUUCUCGAAUGUUUGCUUUGGAAUGGUACGAUCAAGGAACUGGUACCAUUCAUAUGUACCCGGGCCAUAUAAUAGAAAGCCAUAGGUAGUCAUUCGGAGGGCACGCAGCCAACCAUGUUCAGAAAAUAAUGCCCCCAAAACACCCUGAUGCAGCAUUCAGCGAAAUAGCAAAAUUGGAAUUUUGUUUCAAAACCAAGAUCAUCAAUAUGCAUUUUCAAUUUAGAUGGUACGAUAUAGAUGUGAAUUCUUCAAGCAUCAAAUGUCCAUUUACCAAUCUGGAAUUUGAUAUGUUACCGCAUUUUUAGAAGGAAAAAUAAGCGAAGAUAAUAAAGAGACUACUAAAACUGAUCUUUAACUUAUUAUGAGCUUACACAAACUAUAAAGAAAUCCUCAAGGAAAACCAAAAGAGCUUACAGGUCAUUGGAGAUGAGAUUAGUAAGUUGCACAUUUUCUCCAAAAAAUCACUACCCUGUUACCAAAUUCACAUUUCUCGAAUAUUGAUCUAAUGCUUAGGAACAUAUGACUUUUUAAGACCAAUUCUGCUUCAAAUUAACAUGAUAAAAUUUUUUUGGUGAGAAAAGUUGAGAUGUUUGCUAAAACCAUACAUAAUAUCCAUUAAGAACCACAUUUUCUAGUAUAUGAUAACAUCAAACAUCUGAACUGACUUACCUUGACCGCUCAAUGAAUAGGUAGUUAUCCACCAUUCAAUUCUCAAAAGAAAAACUACACAUAAAUGGUACAAAAUUUUCAAACUUUGCUAUUGAAUUUUCUAAAUUUCACGUAGCCCAUAUUAAUUUUAUAUAAAGUACAAGAACAAUUCACUUCCAAAAUGGUAAAAAUUCCAGCUUUUCUUGGAUUCGUCCAAAAGUAAGAACUUCAUUAAUAUUAUUAAAGCCCAUUACGAAAAAAGCUUUCUUUUUCUAAUCUACCAGCUUAUGUCAAGAAAAUGAACGCAUAGUGAAAUGUAAACCGUGUGUUCGAAUUUAAAAAAAAAAAAAAAAAAAACUCAUUUGAGUAAAAACUCGAGUAAUGAGCAACCUCGGGAUGCUGAGGGCUGGAAAGGCUUUCUUUAUACUUCACCCAGCGUUGGCUGAGCUGAGCUAUAGUGUCGCCGGUGAGGGCUAGAGAGGCGGCCAUGAAUGCUUGCUUCACCGGGAACUGGUAACCGGUUCUACCGGUUAUAUCAGCUGAAUUAGAUGAGGAUUUUGAUUCUCUGAUGCUUCUUUUUCUUGGACUUCUUCUCCUAUUGUUGUUGAAAUCAUGGAAAUUCAGUUGUCCCAUCCCAAAUGGACCCCAAUUUCCACCACCACCUAACGACCCCAUUCCCCUCGAAUUUACCGAGACGCUAAUCUCAGCCUCAGGUAUCACUUGUACUCGUAGUUCUUAUUCGCCUCAGAACUUUUUUUUUCUUCUCAAUAUAAGAAUUUAUUCUUUGGCCUCCGGCAAUACUAGGCAGGGGAAUAUUGACUAUUCCUUUUCUUUUUCCUUUUUUCCUUGAUCUAGUUAAUGUAGUUAACUACGACUUGAUAAUUCAUUACUUAAUUGGAUCUUUUCUCUAUUUUCUCCUUGGCAAGAGGGAUACUACCUUUUUUUUUUCAGUUCAAGAAAGGCACUACAAAUACAAUGGAAAAAAUUAUUGUGUCCGGUGUUCAAAUACGCAUUUAUUAAGAUAUAUUUCAGGUGUUAUUUUUUUAAAUAUAAAAUUAAUUAAAAAAUAAAUAAAUACAAGAAUGAAUAAUAAUUAUUAAUAUAUAUAUAUAUAUAUAUAUGUGUGUGUGUGUGUGUGUGUGUGUGUGAAUGAUAGGUUAGUUAAUUUUUAGAUACGUUAACGAAGGUUAAAUACACACAUGUUAGGAAAAUCCCAGAAAAAAAUCAAGAAUCAAGGGACACCAUACACGUACAAGGGAAAAAAGCACUUGAAAAUCAAAUCAAGAAUUCCCUAGUUACAAUACUAAUGUUUAUAACAACUGGUCUAAAUCAAAUAACAACGGAACUGAAUCAUGAACACAAAUUUUUAGUUUGUUUAUUAGACCUCUGGGCUCCACUUGGGGCAUUUUAUUUCUUUUUUGUGGUUAAAUUAAUUUGAUUAAAGUAGUUGACAAAGACUUGCAUGUAAUAAACUACUACUAUAUGGAGUGUGUGUGUGUGUGUAUAUAUAUAUAUAUAUAUAUCAUAAUCAACCAGCUCCACGGAACUUGGUAAUUUAAGUACAAGAUCAGGAAGAUAAUCAAGUACUUGAAUUUGAUUGAAUUCAAUGAUCCGAGCUUCAGCUUGAUAAAUUAAUGAAAAGGUUCAAGUCUCCAAUCAUCAUCUGAGUCUAAUCAACUACAACUGCUCUGGCAACAUCAACUUCCCAUAAAAGUCUUCAUUCAAAGAAAACGGGAAGGGCAGUUCAAAGCAAGUGUUGCACAAGGAUCAGCUACCCAGUAGACACAAAAGAC
Molecule: long non-coding RNA, 46724 nt
Filed under: Coffea arabica (coffee)
Lineage: Eukaryota; Viridiplantae; Streptophyta; Magnoliopsida; Gentianales; Rubiaceae
Description: long non-coding RNA (CARA_LNC003572)
Source: RNAcentral